UUUUUUUUUUUAAAGUUGAAGGGGAAAGUGGAGGAGGAAAUUACGAGGCGGUGAAUCGAAUUGUCAUCAACAAGGUCAAAAUUAAGAUAGCCAACAAAGUGAACCACUAAUAUUUUCCGGGCCUAUCGAUUCCACAAUUUCAUAAGUUAACUGAAAUAUGUUCUAUUGAAUAACUUUUUGCAUUUUCUAAAACAAUGUCAUAUCAUAGCUACCAAAUCAUUGAAAUGGCUGUUUUUCUUUCUCCCAAUAAAGACAAGGCUUCCCAGAUACGUAAAUGGCAAUUUAUAUGUGAUAUCCCAAUAUAUUUUUUUUGUAUAAAAAAAAGAUAGGAGUUUACUUCUCCUGCCUUUUUGUCAGCUUCUGUGGUAUCUUGGUACUGCUCUUGUCUUGGGUGGGAUUAUUGCUUCUAUCAAUUUUUUACAGAUAAACAUUUUCAUUACUUUUUACUUGAAUAUUUUCCUCCUGCUUAGCUCUAUGAUUUGUCUCCCUCUGAUUAGCUUGGAUCUGACUAUUUUGAUCAUGUGAUCGAUGUAUGUCCAUGCGAGAAUAACAAAAAAAGAAAAAAAAAAUUAAAAUAAACGAUAUCGAAGUAAUCUGUAACAUAUCAAACCGAUACAAAUGUGUUAAUUACCACGUUCUUUACGUUAUUAAUAUUCUUUCUUUUUUUUUUUGUAAAAAAUAUAUGUCAAGAAAAAUAGAAUAUUUUCUCACAUACUUUCAGAUGUUUGGUUGGUAAUCUUAGGGUAUAAUAUUCGAGCUUCAAAAAGCUAAUUAAAAUGCUAGUCGUAUUUACAUCUUUGCGAGAAUGAUUGUUUAAACUUAGUAUAUUAUUAAUUACAUUCUUAAAAGAUGAAUGCCUAUCUCUUUUUCUUCUUUUUUUUUUUAAGAUUACACAUAAGUGGAAGGGGAAACACUACUAAAAUUUCGGGAAAAACCGUCUAAAAUAACCAACCAAAGUUUGUCGGUAAUAGCCAAUAACCGUUCAUAACGUGACCAUUAACGAGUGGUCGGUAUUUUGAAGGUCGAAAUGGCAUACCGACUAAAGUUGGUCGGAAGGUCGAUUAAAUUCAAAAAAAAAAAAUUGCUGAAAAAAUCGACCAAAGUUGGUCGAUAUUUUAAUUAUGUAAUUAAAAAAUGCACCAUCUGGGAAUCAAACCGGGGUCUGUACUGUGACAAGAUACUAUUCUACCACUAGACCAUUAGUGCAUUUUAUUUUUAAACUAUCUUUUAUUUUAUUUAUAUUCUUUAAUUGUAUUUUCGCACGAAAAUAACCAACCAAAGUUGGUCAGUUUUAUUAAAAAAUAAAAUUACCAACCGAAUUUGGUCGGUUUUUUAAAAUAACCGGCCGAAUUAACCGACCGAUUUUGGUCGAUUUUUUUAAUAUUAAUUUUAAUUUAUUUUAAAUAAAAAACUGACCAAAGUUGGUCGGUUUCUUGAAAAUAAUUUUGCGGGACUCAAAAAUAGUUUCCCGCAUUUUUGCGCCGUAGAAAACCUUCCAAAGUUGGUCGGUUUCGUAAAAUAAUUAUUUUGAAAAACAAACCAACUUUGGUCGAUUUUUUUGCCGAUUUUUUGACCGAGCAAAAUUGAUCGGUCGACCGUGGUCGGUUUUUGCCGAAUUUCUAGUAGUGAAAGUGGAGAAGGAAAUUACGAGGUGGCGAAUCGAACUGUCGCCAACAAGAUCAAAAUUAAGAUAGCCAACAAAGUGAACCACUAAGAUUCUCAGGGCCUAUCGAUUUCUGGUCCUGAUAAUUUCAUAAGUUAACUGAAAUAUAUUCUAUUGAAUAACUAUUGCAUUGUCUAAAAAAAAUAUCAUAUCCGUAAAACCGAGGGUAAAUUUAUGUUUUGACAAUUCCAGUAAUGAGUUCUCAUUUUCAAUGCCAGAUCCAAAUUUUAAUCUCUUUGGAUUCAACCUUUAAGGCGCCUAGCAUUAACCUUAUUGUAUUUUUAAAAUUAUGAAUUCACACUAAAGGUGCACAAAGAAAACCAACAAACCACAUUGAACCGAUAAAUUGAGUCAAACCUAUGAAAAACAGUAUUGAAUCGGAUAAACCUAAUGUCACAAUGUUACAUCCGUCUCUUCUCAUCUUGGCCAUUGAUUUAAAGGAUAAUGUUAUUUUACUCCCCUGUCUCCCUUCCCACCUCGGAGGAUCUAGUUAUUAUUUUCUUAAAUUGGGGGGGGGGGGGGGGGAUGAAACAAAAUUUUCUCUUAAAAGUAAGGAUGCAUUUUUUUCUUAGACACCAUUUUGCAAAAUCCUUCAGCAGCGCUUUUGUGAAGGGGCAAAUUAUGAAUAAUAAAAGUUAAGAGCAUAGUAGUAGUAGUAGUUGUUGUUGUAAGUGAAAACUGUAACAUUAUAUGUUCAUCUAACUCGAGUCAAAUCGGUGAAUAUGAAUCGAAGUCAAAUAAAAUCAAGUUUAGACACAAAGAGUUAACAUUAAGUUAGAACAUCAGGAAGUCUAGAGAAAGGAAUAGAGAAAGUCUGAGUAGUUGAAGAUGAAACAACUUCAUUUGAAGCAACAAAAAGAAAAACAUAAAUUGGAAUGGGGGGAGAGGUUAAAGUCAAAAAGAGGAUUUCCUCAUAAAUUGCACGAGACUUUCAUCUCACACGACUCCUAAGUAAUAAAUUUCCUCAUUUAAUAGCAUUACCUUCUACCAAAGACAACAAUCUCUACAUUCUCAUUCUCAAUAUUCAAGACCAACUUUCACACCGUCACCAAAUCCAACCAUUUCUUGGCUUGAAUCUUGUUCGAUCCAUAAACAUGUGUGUAUAUGGUCAAAAUCGGACAUGUCAGAUUUCGUAGACACAAGGAGCUGUCUCGAGAGUAAGCUCAUGAUAGACCAGGCUGGAGCUCAAUGGCAGAGUAUGGAGCAUGAAGAUCAAAGUGCUCGCUGAAGAUCGAGACCGAGCAUGACCGACUUCGAGUAAGUCAUAAUAACGGAAUGGCGAAAUAUUAUCAACCGACCGAAGAUCUCGGCGGAAAUCCCAGAACAGAUCGAAUCAAGCAGUUAUUGACGCCAAUCAUGGGAUCUGUUUCCGUUAUUAGAAUUGUACCUUGUUUAAGAUUCCUCUACUAUAUAAAGAGAGGCCCUAUUCAUUUGUAAGGGGCAUUGAUUCACUGAUAAAGAUAUACAAAAACGCUGCUCUCUAUUUUACUUACUAUCCAUUACUGUUCAUCAUUGUUUAUCUUCCGCUCUUUACUAUUCUUCUUACCCAACCUCGAGACCAUCUCGAAUCGAGGUCGAAAGCUCUGCUAGAACACUGGUUUGAUUUAUUUUAUUAUUCAGAUUAUUUAUUCAAUUCCUUGUUUGUCAUUGAUAUUGAAUAAAAUCAUGUAUCCUUAAAACCACUAAAUAAGUUUAAUUAUUACUCGAAUUUUAGGGUAAACAGUUUGGCGCCCACCGUGGGGCUAAGAAUAAUAGUGAUUGUUCAGUAUUGAUUCUGGUAAAACACACUAUUUUACGCUUGUUCUUGUUGAGUGCCUUUGCUUUCAGGUUAAAACAUGUCAAACUCACAAAACGCAUCCACACACGGUAACAAUGGCCUCGGAUUCCACGAUGAAAACGAAAAUGUAAUCGCUCCAGGAAUCGAGGUGCCACAGGCUAAUCUCAAGGCAGCACCGGUUGCCAACCCAGUCGAUGUUAGUUAUCACGUUGCUCUAAACGCGGACCUAGGCGCAGAUCACGAUGGGAGUGUAUGUAGAGAAGGCCGAUCUAGUGGCCAAGGAACACAGGAAAGAGGAGACGAAGGCCAAUUCAUAUUCGAGAUGCUUCAGGCUCAGCAAGCCGCUAUUGCUCAGUUAUAAAAUCAACACAGAGAUCUGAAUAGGGUCGAGCCGAAAAUUACUAGUCGUACCGAGCCAGUACCGGAAAGGUCGAAUGGUAACAAAUCGUAGACAUUACGAUAAUAAAAAUGCUUGAGGAGCUCACCAAAAGAAUUGAAUCAGGGGAGAAGAGAAUCGAAGCCAACGAUAAGAAAGCGGAGACAUACAACUCUCGAGUUGAUCAGAUACCAGGGGCACCGCCAAUCUUGAGAGGGAUGGAUUCGAAGAAGUUUGUACAAAAGCCGUUUCCUCUAAGUGCGGCUCCGAAGCCUAUUCCAAAGAAAUUUCGUAUGCCAGACAUACCCAAAUACAAUGGGACUACUGAUCCCAACGAGCAUGUUACUUCAUAUACAUGCGCCAUCAAGGGUAACGAUUUAGAGGAUGAUGAAAUCGAAUCCGUGCUGUUGAAAAAAUUUGGAGAGACUCUUUCGAAGGGAGCAAUGAUUUGGUAUCACAACCUGCCACCAAAUUCCAUCGAUUUAUUUGCCAUGUUAGAAAAUUCUUUCGUAAAGGCAUAUGCCGGAGCCAUAAAGGUCGCAACGAGGAAAUCGGACCUUUUCAAGGUAAUACAAAGGGAUAAUGAAAUGCUAAUGGAGUUCGUGUCCCGAUUUCAAAUGGAGCGCAUGGAGUUGCCACCGGUCACAGAUGAUUGGGCUGUUCAAGCUUUCACCCAAGGGUUGAACGAACAGAGUUAGAUAGCAUCACGGCAAUUGAAACAAAAUUUGAUCGAGUAUCCAGCUAUAACUUGGGCAGAUGUACACAAUUGAUAUCAGUCGAAGAUCAGGGUCGAGGAUGACCAAUUAGGAGCCCCUUCCGGUUCAGUAUAUCCAAACAGGUUGACAGUUAAAAAUCAGAGGGACGUCGACAGGGAGCCAAGGUCGAACAGGGACUGAUAUCAACCAUAUACCGCAGAUCGAAGGAACAAUGGUUCAGGAUGCAAUUCCGCCCGGAACGAUCGAAGAAGUGACCGAGGACAGAAUUCUCGGGGACUUACGAGCAAAAGUGGUUUCGACAAGUAUGCCGAUCCCACAUAGGCACCUCGGUUAUCAGAAUAUAACUUUAGCAUCGAUGCAUCGGGCAUUAUUUCGGCAAUCGGAAGGAUCAGAGAUACUAGGUGGCCCAAACCUAUACAAACCGAUCCUUCCCAAAGAAACCCAAAUUUGAUGUGCUAGUAUCAUGGCACGCAUGGUCACAAGACCGAGGAUUACAGGCAAUUAAGGGAGGAGGUAGCCCAUCUAUUCAAUGAGGGUCACCUUCGGGAGUUCCUCAGCGAUUGAGCCAAGAAUCAUUUCGGAGAAAGGGACGUCAACAAGAAAAAUGAACAGGAGGAACCCCAACAUGUCAUUCAUAUAAUCGUCGGUGGGGUCGACAUCCCACAGGAACCCAUAUUCAAACGCACUAAGGUUUCAAUCACCAGGGAAAAACGAACCCGAGAUUAUGUGCCCGGAGGCACUUUAUCAUUCAACAACGAAGAAACGGAAGGCAUUUCUCAUCCCCACAACGAUGCUCUGAUAAUUUCUAUCUUAUUAAAUAAAGUUCAAGUUAAGCGUGUUUUAGUGGAUCCAGAUAGCUCGGCAAAUAUCAUCCGAUCGAGGGUCGUGGAGCAGCUCGGCCUACAAAGUCAAAUCGUACCCGCAACUCGAGUCUUAAACGGCUUCAAUAUGGCCAGUGAAACAACAAAAGUGGAGAUUAUUCUACCAGUGAACGUGGCUGGAGCCAUUCAAGAUAUCAAGUUCCACGAAAUCGAGGGCGACAUGAGGUACAAUGCCCUGCUCAGAAGUCCUUGGAUCCACAAUAUGAGGACACUCCCUUCAACUCUCCACUAAAUGAUAAAAUUCCCGACGUCGGAUGGUGUAAAAAUAGUAUACGGGGAGAAGCAUGCUGCAAAGGAAAUGUUUGCGAUCAAUGAGGUGACCCCGAUAUCGACACUAUCAACCUCGAAAAGGUCGAGCAUCAAAGAUAAACAGGAAUUCAAAUAGCAAUCACAGCCACCAGCCUCGACCGAAUCAGGGAAGCGGGAGAUAGAAGAAGAAGAUGAGGAUUUUCUGACCCCUCAAACUUUUGUUGUUCCCAAAGAUACUGACGCCACCNNNNNNNNNNNNNNNNNNNNNNNNNGGGAAGACCCCAGUCCGAAGUAAAGCACGCAUUCAUAAAGGACGAGGUAACUAAACUUCUAAAAAUAGGAUCCAUUCGGGAGGUGAAAUAUCCCGAAUGGUUAGCCAAUGUAGUUGCAGUCCCUAAAAAAGGGGACAAACUUAGAAUGUGUGUAGAUUAUAAGGAUUUAAACAAGGCGUGCCCCAAAUAUUCUUUUCCACUGCUUAACAUCGAUCACAUGAUCGAUGCCACGGCCGGCCACGAGAUCCUUACUUUUCUUGAUGCCUAUUCCAGGUACAAUCAAAUCCAAAUGAACCCGGAAGACCAAGAAAAGACUUCAUUUAUCACCAAGUAUGGAAUAUAUAGUUAUAAUGUAAUGCCCUUCGGGCUAAAAAAUACAUGAGCUACUUACCAAUGCCUAGUGAAUAAAAUAUUCGAAGAACAAAUAGGUAAAUCAAUGGAGGUUUAUAUUGAUGACAUACUAGUUAAUUCCCUGCGCGCAGAGGACCAUUUGGCUCAUUUGCAGGAAACGUUCUAGAUUUUAAGGAAAUCCAACAUGAAGCUCAACCCCGAGAAAUGUGAUUUCGGGGUUAGUUCGGGCAAAUUCCUUGGCUUCAUGGUAUCAAAUCGGGGGAUCGAGAUCAACCCCGAUAAAAUUAAGGCCAUCGAAGACAUCGCCCUUGUGGAUAGUGUAAAGGCCAUACAGAGGCUAAUUGGACGGAUAACUGCCUUAGGCCGAUUCAUUUCGAGGUCAUCGGAUCAAAGCCACAGAUUUUUCUCUUUACUCAAAAAGAAGAGCGAUUUUGCCUGGACACCGGAAUGCCAACAGGCAUUGGAAGAGUUGAAGUGAUACCUAUCGAUUCCACCACUGCUUCACACUCCAAAUGCAGAUGAGAAACUUUACUUGUACUUGGCAGUAUCAAAAAUUGCGGUAAGUGGUGUCUUAGUUCGGGAAGAGCAAGGUACGCAAUUUUCCCUUUAUUAUGUAAGUUGAACCUUAGGAGAAGCAAAAACUAGAUAUUCACACUUAGAAAAAUUGGCACUUGCACUGAUAAUCGCCUCUAGAAAGUUAAGACCAUACUUUCAAUGUCACCCCGUAUGCGUAUUAACCACUUACCCACUUCAUAAUAUUUUGCACAAACUCGAACUGUCGGGCCGAUUGGCCAAAUGGGUCGUCGAACUCAGUGGGUACGACAUAUAAUAUCAACUCCGUACGGCCAUCAAGUCUCAAAUUUUAGCGGACUUUGUGGCCGAUUUCACACCAACCCUCGUACCUGAAGUUAAAAAGGAACUCUUGUUAAAAUUGGGUACGUCAUCGGAGGUAUGGACCCUUUUCACAGACGGUGCUUCAAAUGUGAAGGGGUCCGGGCUAGGCAUCAUUUUGAAGCCGCCCACGGGUAGCACUAUUAGGCAAUCUAUCAAAACUUCUAGGUUGACUAAUAAUGAGGCCGAGUAUGAGGCCAUGAUUGUAGGUUUCGAGCUAGAUAAAAGACUGGGGAUAGAAGUCAUUGAAGCCAAGUGUGACUCUUUACUGAUGGUGAACAAAGUAAAUAAAACCUUCGAAGUUCGAGAGGAUAGAAUGCAAAGGUAUUUGCAAAAGCUACAGGUAACUUUGCACCGUUUCAAGGAAUGGACAUUACAGCAUGUACCUCGAAAACAAAAUAGUGAGGCUGAUGCACUUGCAAGCUUGGGGUCGUCGGUCGAGGAAGAUGAGAUUAGCUCGGGGACUGUCGUUCAACUCUCGAGAUCCGUGAUCAAGAAAGGCCAUGCCGAGGUAAACUCUACAAGCUUAACCUAGGAUUGGAGGAAUAAAUAUAUUGAAUACUUGAAGAAUGGAAAGCUCCCAUCGGAUCCUAAAGAGUCGAGGACCUUAUGAACCAAAGCUGCUCGAUUCACAUUGGCUGAAGAUGAAACAUUAUACAGAAGAACAUUCGAUGGACCAUUGGCAGUGUGCUUAGGGCCAGGAGGCAUCGAUUAUGUUUUACGAGAGGUCCAUGAAGGCACUUAUGGGAACCACUCCGGCGCCGAAUCACUGAUUCACAAAAUCAUUAAAGCAGGAUACUAUUGGGAUAGCAUGGAAAAGGAUACUAAGGAGUUUGUUCGAAAAUGUGAUAAAUGUCGAACUUUUGCUCUGAUGAUCCAUCAGCCUGGAGAACAACUUCAUUCAGUCCUAUCUUCAUGGCCAGUCAUGAAAUGGGGGAUGGAUAUCGUCGGGCCCCUUCCAUCGGCGCCUGGUAAAGCUAAGUUCAUUUUAUUUAUGACUGACUAUUUCUCUAAAUGGGUUGAAGAACAGGUGUUCGAGAAAGUGAGAGAAAAAGAGGUUAUAGACUUCAUUUGGGAUCACAUCGUGUGUCAAUUUGGGAUACCCGCAGAAAUAGUAUACGACAAUGGUAAGAAAUUUAUCGACAGUAAAGUGACAAAAUUUCUCGAAGACCAUAAAAUAAAAAGGAUAUUGUCAACACCGUAUCACCCUAGUGGGAACGGACAGGCCGAAUCGACGAACAAGACUAUCAUCCAAAACCUGAAGAAAAGGUUGAACGAAGUUAAAGGGAAAUGGAGAGAAAUUCUGCCCAAAGUCUUUUGGGCAUAUCGAACAACAUCGAAGUCCAGUACAGGGGCAACUCCGUUUUCGUUAGUGUAUGGCUCCGAAGCCUUAAUUCCAGUCGGAGUACCCAGUGCAAGGUUUCGACAUGCAUCGGAGGAAUCGAACCGCGAGGCUAUGAAUACUAGCCUCAAAUUAUUAGAUGAAAAAUGAGAAGCGACACUUGUUCGAAUGGCUGCACAAAAGCAACGAAUCGAAAGGUACUACAAUAGAAGAACCAACCUUUGCCACUUCAGGAUCGGGAACUUAGUCCUAAAGAAGGUCACCAUCAACACUCGAGAUCCUAAUGAAAGGAAGCUCGGCCGGAAUUGGGAAGGACCCUAUCAAGUCCUCGAUAUAGUCAAAAAAGGGUCCUAUAAACUCGGAACGAUGGACGACGAACCAUUACCAAACAACUGGAACAUAUCACUUCUCAAACGAUAUUAUUGUUAAGGUAUGACUUUCUCCCUUCUUUCGUUUAUAUAUAUUCAGCACUAACUCAUUGCAGGAGUUCAACCAAAGACAUCGAGACCUCAGGUUUUAAAGUAUGUGUUGCACUCUUUUUCCCUUAGAUCGGUUUUUAUCCCAAUUGGGUUUUCCCGGCGAGGUUUUUAACGAGGCAACAAUUAUGUGCUACCUGAGGACAAUUCAAUGGUANNNNNNNNNNNNNNNNNNNNNNNNNAUAGGGAAGCUUUGUAAUGGAUCAAACGGUCAAGUGAACCGUGUUCAUAUAAAUUAGUCGAGCCCCGAUGGCAAAACAUGUGCGCAUGUAUAAACUAUUCAAAGAAGCAUUCUCUCUUCAUUUAAACAUUUUGUGUCUCAAAAAAAAUUAUCUACUAUACAAACCUCAUGCUUAUGAUAUUGCGAGAAACGACUCAAGAGCCAAAGUGCAAUAUACACUCGGGGACUACCAUCGAUGAUAGGCAUAUUCGAGUUAUUUAAACACAAAUGCAUAAGACCUAAAAGAGGCACCCCUCGAUCUAUAGGCCAAGGCCACCAUUCUCGGGGACUGACAUUUCAAACAAGUUCGAAAUGUUAGUGGGAAAUAAGCCCAAGAGGCGUACCCGAAGGCUACGGCCAAACUAAAGGCUACGGCCAAACUAAAGGCUACAGUCUAAAUAAUGCGGCUCGGAUACGUCUGAAUUCCGCAAUAACGAUAGGCCUUACAAAUUCUCUGAAAAAUCGAUUAAAAAGGCUACCCUUGGCAAAUAAUCAAAAGGGCUUCGAUAAAAUCAGCCCUCGAAAAACCUUAAGAGGUAUCAAAUUAUCUUUAACACAAACGUGCUAAGGCACAAAAAGUAAAAGUGUUUCAACCGACAUCGGACCCUCAAAAAACCCAAUGGGUAAUAAGCCGAAAGGCGGAAAUAAUAGUCGUCUUUUAGAGUCCAUAUGGGCCCAACCUAAAAGAGCCUAAGGACCAAUACAUUUAGAGUUCGAGAAUUUGUUCUCACUCGACUCGGACCUAAGGGUUCCACUAUUCCGAGUUCAAAUAAAGUUGAUUUGAACUUAGCUCAAGGAUCCUCCAUAAAAUCUUAAGGGGUAUGUUACUGUAAGUUCGAAAAUUACCCAUUAUUUGAUUAAAAAACCUAAGAAUUUAUUCUAUUCUAAGUUCAAAACAUACUCAAACUCAGUUAUAAAAACAGUGCAGUCAUGGCAUCGAUCAAGCCAUCCGAAAUCUCGAAUAUAUUAUUGAGCUCAGGGACUCGCCCUUGCGUGUCUAAAAAACCUAAGGGUUUUGUUCUAAGUUCGAACUAGUGUUCACUCGAUUACGGAGGCUGCAACAAUAAAACUUUCAUAAGGAAAGAGCACAAAACACGUUUGAACAUAAAAUUGAGAAGACAUUCAAAAGAAGUUUUUCUAUUAUAUAUUCAUAGAAACAGUUAUGUAAAAGAGACCGAUCAAGGUCUUACAAAAAGAUAAACUAAGUCCUAACUACGGCCGGUUUCGACCUCUUCUUCGGGAGAAACUUCUCCUUCAUCGGAUCCACCUCGACUGCCUUCUUCAUCAUCGUCUUCGUCGUCAAAGGAGGCAAGCUGCCUGGCUUCAGCUCAAGCACCUUGGCUCAGGCUAUCUCCUCGGAGAGGUAAAAACCUCGAGUAUGGAUUUCCUCGAGGGUUUCAAUCCGGGAUUGACACUUUGCCGAGUCAAUGAUCCAUUGCUCUCAGUCAGAAGCCUCCCUUAGCUGCAUUUGAGCAGCCUCAUCAUCGGCCUGGUACAUGGCAAUGGACUUGUCCGCCAUGACUUUUGUCUUCUCGAUCUCCGCAUUGGCCUUAGCAUGCCCGGUUUUAAGCUCCUCGAUCUUCUUAGCUUGGGCCAAACUUUUCUCUUUGACGCCUUAAAGUUGAACCUCGGUCGAUGACAGUCUGGCCGAGGUAGUUUCUUUUUCCGCAGCCAGGAAAUCCAUAUUCUCCUUCCACCGAUCACAAUCAGCCUUUACCUGAUCGACUUCUCCCCAAAGUAGCUCGAUCCUUUCAACCUUUUGCUGCAGCUGAGAUAAUGAAGCAUUAGCCUCCAUAGUUGGGUCGAGUCCGUACUUUAUCAAAAGGAUUCUCACCUGCUUUUCUAACUCGGCUUCUUCCUCAUGAACCUUGGCCAAAUCCGCUUGAAGGUCCUUUAUAGUUUCGUCUUUUUGGCCGCAAAGAAGCUUCAGAGCGUUCCUCUCCUCCGAGACCUUUUGGUUCUCGGUUUCACACUGGCUGAGGUCAGCUCGAAACUUGGCGAAGGCCUAUACAAAAAAGGAAAAUACAAGUUAGAUUUAGAGAAAAAAGAGUAAAUAAAAGAAAGUGCAGUAAACUAAUUCUUAUCCGAGAUAAGAGACGUUCGGCCUCUUCUAAAAGAAUAGAGGCGUCACCGAUAUCAGAGGCAUCAUCGACUCCAGUAAAGUAAUCCCGAAAGGGAUCCCCUACACUAGAGCCUCCGUCUAUAUCAUGGGUCGUCAACUCUCAAGCUUCCCUUAGUGCCUCCUCAGAAAAUGUCGGAAGAGAAGGCAAGUGACAUGUUGUCAUGUUCCCGAGCAAGUCACUCGGAACGCUCUAAUCGAUCUUUGGGGUCUCAGAACCGGCCCCGUCCGAUGUAAUUGCAGAUGGCCGAGAAAUGGCCUCGACCUCUGGUAAUUCGGGAUCCUCACCCGAUUUCUUUUUGGAAGCCUCCUCGACACGAGGCUUGAUUUUAGCAGUCGCCGUCGACUCAGAAGGUUUGGUGACCUCGACGGCUUUCCUAGGUCGAACUGUCAGUGCCGAGGCAUUUUCCUCUUCUUCUUCUUCUUCUUCUUCUUCUUCUUCUUCUUAUUCUUAUUCUUCUUCUUCUUUGUCUCUUAGUUUUUGGACCGAGUCCAUCGUGAGAGCGAUUACUUUCCUCCUCAACCUUCGAGGAUUGGGCUUGGGGUCCUCGGACUACGAGGCAGUUUUCCUCUUCUUGUCUUCCCUCGGCUUCGAAACCGGGGACUUGGUUUCUUCCUCACCACUUGAAGGCCUCAAAAUGGCAUCCUUAGUCAGGCCUGCAUGAAAGAAAAUUAGUGACGAAUGGAGUAUAAAUAGUGUUUCAGAACAUGAAUAAGGAGAUCCUUACCAUGGUCCUUGGUCUCCCAUCUGCCCUUUGCCAAAUCACGCCAUGCGCGUUCGGCAUAUGUGGAAGUUGAGGCUAACUUCCGAACCCAAUCUUCAAGGUCAGGUACCGCUUGAGGCAUCCAAAGAACAGCUGCAUGUUGAAAGGGGAUGUCAGGUGAAGUCGAAGAAGAUACGAAGGACAAAGUUUAAAAGAUCACUUACGGUUGAAGUUCCACUCUUCAGGGAACGACAUCUUCUCUUCCGGGAUAAUGUCGCAGGUCCUCACCCGUAUAAAACGGCUCAUCCAACCCCGAUCCUUAUCCUCAUCGAUGCUCAAGAUCAAGGCCUUCGUUGCCUGGUGUUGGAGCCUGUUUAGUCCUCGGUAGAUUUGAGGCCGGUACAAUAGCAUGAGGUGAUUUAGAGUGAACUCUAUCCCCUCGGCCUUGCUAGAGAAGAAGUGCAACAUGAUUACUAUGCACCAUAGAGAGGGGUGGAUUUGGCCAAGGGUGACCUGAUAUUAUUUACAGAGAUCAAUAAUCACUGGAUCGAGGGGACCCAAUAUGAAGGGGUAAGUGUAAACACUUAAGAACCCCUCCACAUAAGCGGUGAUGCUCUCUUCGGGAGCAGGAAUUUGCAUCACGACCUCGGGACCCCAGUUGCAGUCCCUCUUCACGGCCUCGAGGUAGAGCUUCAAUAUUGAGCACAUGUACAUCGACACAUGCUCACAUCGGCCAGGGAUCGAUGAAGGGUUUUUGACCUUGAAGUCAGAUUUUAGAGUACACGGGACGGGAACAUAUUCAUGGGGAAGCGGGUCUGGCGGCAAGGCCGGGAAGAGGAGCAAGUAGACUUCUCCUUAUGCGGUAAAGUCUUUGAGGUUUUUGCCAUUUGUAUAAGUAAAGAAGAGCGAAGAAAGAUGAAAAACUGGUAGUUUCAGUGCUAACGACGGUGGCUCUACAGACGGCGAAAGGUAGGAGACGAAAAGAGUGAGAAUACUUAGAGGAUUGAUUAGAGCAAAGAAAAGUUUGAUUCAAUGAAAGAGCAAGUAUUUAUAGGUUCACGACGAAGGUUCGGUGGCGUUAGUGGCCGACCGCUAACUGACAAACAUUAAUAAUUUGGGGAACUGAACUGACGGGACAUUUCGAUCAUAUCCGUCACUUACGUCAUAAGGACGACGUUAUGAUCAAGGUUUCGGUAAAGCAAGGCUCAAACCGUUUCUUAUCAUUUUAUUCCAAGGAACGCUGGGACUAACUGUAUACGGUCAAAAUCGAGCAUGUCAGAUUUCAUAGGCACGAGGAGCUUCCUCGAGAGUAAGCUCAUGAUAGACCAGGCUCGAGCUCAAUGGCAGAGUAUGGAGUAUGAAGAUCGAAGUGCUCGCUGAACAUCUAUACCGAGCAUGACCGACUUCGAGUAAAGCAUAAUAACGGAAUGGCGAAAUAUUAGCAACCGACCGAAGAUCUCGGCGGAAAUCCCGGAACAUAUCGAAUCAAGCGGUUAUUGACGCCAAUCAUGGGAUCUGUUUUUGUUAUUAGAAUUGUACCUUAUUUAGGAUUCCUAUACUAUAUAAAGAGGGACCCUAUUUAUUUGUAAGGGGCAUUGAUUCACUGAUAAAGAUAUACAAAGCUGCUCUCUAUUUUACUUACUAUCCAUUACAGUUCAUCAUUGUUUAUCUUUUGCUCUUUAGUGCUCUUCUUACCCAACCUCGAGACCAUCCCGAAUCGAGGUCGAAAGCGCUGCUAGAAUACUGGUUUGAUUUAUUUUAGUAUUCAGAUUAUUUAUUCAAUUCCUUGUUUGUCAAUUGGUGUUGGAUAAAAUCACGUAUCCUUAAAACCACUAAAUAAGUUUAAUUGUUACUUAAAUUUUAGAGUAAACAAUGUGCAAUCCAUAGAUAGUUUAGGAAAUAAUCGAAACAACACUAAACCCAAUUCUAUUCGAUUUCCUCCUCCCAUUAAUUAUUAUCUAUCUUCAUUAUAUUUCAUAACAGAUAAUCAGCAAGAUUAGCAGGUUAAAGAAUCAUGGUGGUGAUUCCUUUUUCUAUUCUAUUGUGAGAUGAUGCAAUUCCAGAAAGCUAAUAAUAUGCCAAAAUCAAAGAUCUUUUGCAGUUUGGUAGACAAAAUAGAUCUAAAUUGUCUACACUACAAUUUUCCUAAUUUGAUAAACCAAGUCAAUUCAAAAUUUCAAUGGAGAAAUAAAAUUCGCUCAUAACCUAUAGAAACAUUACGCAAAAUAAUGAUACAACAUCAAGAUACAACUAAACUAGAUCUAAAAUAUCAUGAACACUACACUAUAAUAGCCACAAAAAUUCCUAUCAGAGUGUGAACCAGUGUGAGCUCACCAUCGCCGAUGGCAUUAACUUGUGGACUUGCUUCUGGGUUUGGCAAAAGUGCACUUGCCUCCGGAGGUGGCGUAGAGAAAAGGAAAUGGGAGUAGAUAUAAGUAACUCUCCAUGUCACUAAGAAAAAAAAAAUACAACAUAAGUAUACCAUUAGUGUCUUGAGAGAAAAAAAAAGGAACAGAGACGAAAUGAUAGUAAUAAGCUUAAUAAAGGAAAAAAAGAAUGCAACCAAUUAACUUAAUAACAGUUUGUAACUUACUCAUUGCUUUCUUAUUCGGUACCACUUUUUUUGCAUAUCUACACAUAUAUGCAAAUCUCGGUGCCUUGAGGCUAAAGCUCUUUGGCUUCCUUACUCUCCGUUUAUUGGUUCCAGCAUGACCAACUUUCAGCUGGAAGGCGCUCAAAGCGUUCCCGGGAUCUUGAAGCCAUGAUUUGAUUACGUCACUAUUGCAACAAUCUUCAAUUUGUUGUGCGGGAGGUGUAUGUGUAGUCAUGUCCACAAACAUUGGGUCCCUCUUGCAGCAAUGUUGGGUGUCCCUUCGAACCGUGAAUAAUCUCCUUUCUUGGUAGCUAGACCUCCAAGCACCCUCCAAACUAUUUCGUGUUUGGCCCAUGUCCAACCAAUUUGCCAUCUUGGUGCUUGAAUAGGAUACUUCUGAAAAUUAUAAAUGCAAAAAUCAACCUGUAGAAAAAAGUAUUCUUUGGGUCAAACAAAGCUCCAAUAAUCUCUAGAUGAUAACUUAAGCGACUAGUGAAAUUUUUAUCAUCAGAAAAUAAAUAUGAACUUCUAUGUUUGCACAAAUGUAUCCAUCUGGAGUCCAAGUCUUGAUGUCACACUUGAUGGUAAUAUUUUCAUUGGAGUCGUGUCCAUCAUAACAAUCUGCAUACAUAGAAAUAAAAUCUGAAAACUGAAAACAUACAUAAAAUAGAAUGCAAUACUUUAUGGGUAUGUCCGGGUAUUACACAAUGAAGCAACAUAAACCAAAUAGCACAAGCAAAAUUGUACAGUAAACCUGAGCAAACAGGAGGGAGCUGCCUGCUUGCGGGGCUGGUCUAGGGUUGUACCUUAAAGCGGACAAAUUUUGUAGACCGAUUCUAAUAUUUCGGACUGACCUUGAUUAAGAAGCUUGCAAUGAGGACCAGAGUUGGUGUUCCCAGUUAUAUCUGAAUUUCCAUUGGAGUCUUGUGCAUCAUAACCAUCUGCAUACAUAGAAACAACAUAAGAAAAUUGAACGCAGACAAUCCAGAUUAAGGUAAACGACAAGGAACUAUAGUUCAAAGAAGUCAAAAAUAGCUUCUAGAGUUUACCGAAUCAAUAAACAUACAAUUCAGUCAUAUGGGCAAGGCCAAAGUCAUAAGAAUUUCAAGCUAUCAUAAUUUCCAUAUACACCAUUGGUAAGAUAACAUUUACUUUAAAUAUAUUUUGCAGUGGAAGAUUUAAUAAACACCUAGAAAAAUAAACCACCUCCCUUUUUCAGUCACCCCCUUUCUGACUUCCAACUUGCGGCCAACAAGAAUGCAAUUUGCAACUAACUUUGUGCAAUACUCAGACCAAAAUUAUACAGAAACUCAAAACUCCUACAACACAAUAGCAAUGAAAGACAAAUAUGACUCUUAUCUGGAUAAACUUAUGCAAUCUUAGAGGUAGAGAGCUCAGACCAGCUAAAAUCAAAUAAUACACUCAAACACUACCAAUCCUAUAUAUCCUACAAAAGUUGUCUCAUGCGUACUCCCGAAAAAUGGCUUACACGAAUAUAAAAAAGAUAGUUAUGCCCAAACCUUAUUAACUUAUAGUAUACCAGACAACUUGCUUAUUCAGGAUAUCAACUUCAAAUCGAUUAACUUAGAAGAUGAAUCUCAAAAUCUAUAAACUUGGAUAAUAUCAUUCCGGUAUCCACCACUUGUAAGCAAAGAAUCUAUGACCGCACAAUUAAUCGCUAAAUAUUCGUGAAUCACUACCUUAAGGAAAAAAACUAUAGCUUGAAAUUCAUCAAUUAUGUGCCCAUAAUUUAAGCUAGAAAAAGCUCUCUAAAAAAAGAAUUAAAAAACAUAAUAACAUCCAAAGAACAGAGAAGAUGAAUAUAUUUUCAAAAUAACAGUCUUUUCUCUCCCAACUCAUUAUCACCUGCUUUAACCAAAAUGAUGACAUUGCUGUAAAUUUUAAAUACCCAAAAAUAUCACUGAGAUGCUACCUUACUAUUCUAUUUCACGUCACAUACAUUAUACUCAAACAAGCACACGAAAAUACUCCAGAAAAUGAUUUGUCAAGGUAUAAUACUAUCAAUGGAAAAUGAGAACUAUUUUUAUCUGUAAUAAACGUAUGCUCAAUAGAAGUGCGGGAGACAUGUUUACCCAAAGCUAAAUUUUAAUAAAGCGUAUUUUUUUUCCUUUCUUUUUGUCUAUGGUGUAGUUAUUGUACAAAACAUAAUAUUAAUAUUAACGUUAGUUUAUUUUUUACUUCCUUUUUAUCUGUAAUAUAGUUGUCAUACAAAACAUAAUAUGGAGUAUUAAUAUUUACAUUGGUAAGAAAAUUUAAGUUGAUUAGAUUUUAACCACGUAUAUGUAAUGCGUUACCUUGGAUCUUAUUGUAAAAAUAUUAUUUACCAAUGUGAAGAUUUAAGUAGCUUAAUUAAAAGUUCUAAAAUAUUUUUAUUGUUAAAAAAUAUAGAGAAUAUUUUUUUCUACUUUUAUAAAGAGUUUGUACUUUUUUUUCUCUUUUUUCAUUGUGUAAGCGAAAAUAAGGAACAACCGACGAACAAUUCAACGAAUGGAGAGGAAUUCCGAGCUGCCUGCAGUUGAUCCUCCUGACUACGUUUACGACGAAUCUGUUCUUACGUUCAGCUUGAACUAUAAUAUGCGAACAAUGUACAAAGGACUGGGGACGAAAUCCAAGCCACGCAUCAUCGUUUGAUCCCUUAAUCAACUUUUUCAUAAUCUUCUAAUUCAGAAGAGGAACAACAAACUGCAACAAUAGAUAUUGUGAUCACGAGAACACAGGAUGAGGUGUUUAUAAUUUCUAAUUCCCAUGACAAUUAUUAUCUAGUGCGAGAAACCAAUAUCACAUAUAUAGGGUUUAAAGUAGAGUACAAAUAACAAUACAAACACCUUUUCUCUUUUGUUCUACGAGUAAUGCUCAUUAGGGAUUUGUCUAGGAUUUUUCUACUUCAAUUUUUAAAUAACCAACCCUUAUGCUAAGAAACGAAUAUGUUGUCGUUAUUUAAUUCUUAUCAUAUAUAAGGUUAAAAGAACUAGAGCAGAAACAAACCAUUUUGAUCCUCUGAUCGUUUUAUUUCCAUAGCUAUAUAACCAAAAAAAAAUUAAAAUAAGCGAAUCGAAGUAAUCUGUAACAGAUCAAACCGAUAACACGUUCUUUGUGUGCAAUAAUGGAGGUUGCCUCAACAUUCUUAAAUACAAAUGUGUUAAUUACCACGUUCUUUACGUUAUUAUUAUUAUUAUUUUUGUAAAAGAUAUAUGUCAAGAAAAAUAGAAUAUUUUCUCACAUACUUUCAGAUGUUUGGUUGGUAAUCUUAUGGUAUAAUAUUCUAGCUUCGAAAAGCUUAAUUAAAGUGCUAGUCUUAUUUACAUAGCUUGGCGAAAAUGAUUGGUUAAACUUAGUGUAUACGGUCGAAAUAGAUUUCGGCCUUCGUACGAUUGAUCAAGGUCGAAACAUAAUGGAUCAAAGAAAGACUUCGUAAUAUCGAGAUGGGUUCCGAAGAUGGCACAAACAAGCUUCGGAUUCCAGGUAUAGGUCAAACACCGAGUUCGAAGUCAUCAUCGAGCUCGGGUCCGAAUCGAUCUAUGAUGAAAUGAUUUCGAGCUUAAGGGGCAGAGGCCAACCGGGACCGAGGCCGAUCGAGCUCGAGCUCAUAGACAAGAGCGGUGGCAAACACACUAAGGGAGAGAAUCUCGGCGGAAAUUAGGAAAAAGGUGAUUUAUUAUGGAUUCUCCACUAUAUAUCUGCUGCCUCGCUCUACAACCGGAUACUUUUUAUUUUUAAUUAUAUCUAAAGUAGGAUCCUCCACUAUAAAGAGGAUGGCUACAUUUCUAUAGAGGGCAGUUUUUUUUGCUUACAUUGUAAUUCAAUCACCAUACUCUCCUAUAUUCAAGGAUUAUUCUUUUAAGCAUCAUUAAUUAAUUCAUUGUGCUUAGUCCUAAAAAUUAUCUUCUCUCCAACCUUGUUUAUUUUGCAUUCUUUGCAAUCCAUAUUUGAUAUUUCUAUUUAUCCCAACGAUUUGUAUCAUGCUACAUCACAUAUCCUUAGAACUAUGUACAAAUUCAACUCUAUCCGUUUUUCGGGUAAACAGUUUGGCGCCCACCGUGGGGCUAAGGUAACAGUGGUUAUUUGAUACGAAUCUACAAAAACACACUGUUUUGCGCUUGUUUCCGAAAGUAUCUUGGAUUUUGGAUUAGCAACGACUAACUACCAAUCAAAUGGCCUCACCUAUCGAGAACGAAGCCAGUUUCCAAGAUGAAAACAACAAAUUGACACCUUGUACCGAAAGACCACUUGUUAACGCCGUUGGAGCUUGAAUCGAAGUGCCAAUAGAUAUCAAAUCGCAUGUGGUCAUUGAGGCGAACCUACAUUCUGAACCUGAAAAUAGCAUUCAUGGUGGCACUCGGUCUGCAGCUCGAGAUACCCAUAAUGUUGAGGAAAACGGCGUCAUCUUGCGUAUGAUUUUUGAAAUGUUGCAAGCUCCAUAGGUAGCAAUAGCUUAGUUGUAGAGCCAAACCCAGCUACCGAGUAGGCCGGAGCCCAGUCCACCUCGAGAAAUCGCCCACAGAACGGAGACAGCCAUAAUGAGGUCAAAUGAGCAAGAAUCGGGGACUACUCCCGAAAUUGCUAAAAUACUCGAGGAGCUCACAAAGCGAGUCGAAGCCAACGAUAAAAAAGUAAAAACAUAUAAAUCUAGGGUCGAUCAGAUCCCGGGAGCUCCACCAAUGAUAAAAGGAUUGGAUUCCAAAAUAUUCGUGCAAAAAUCUUUUCCCUCGAGCGCAACCCCAAAACCAAUCCCCAAAAAAUUUCGUAUGCCCGAAAUUCCCAAAUAUAACCGAACGACUGACCCCAAUGAACACGUCACUUCUUACACGUGUUCCAUCAAGGGCAAUGAUUUAGAAGACGAUGAAAUCGAAUCUGUGUUGUUAAAAACAUUCGGAGAGACCCUCUCGAAGGGAGCAAUGAUUUGGUAUCAUAACCUACCACCGAAUUCCAUCGACUUAUUUUCCAUGUUAGCAGAUUCUUUUGUAAAAGCACACGUCGGCGCCAUAAAAGUCACAACAAGGAAAUCAGACCUUUUCAAGGUAAGACAAAAGGAUAACGAGAUGCUGAGGGAGUUCGUAUCUCGUUUUCAAAUGGAACGAAUAGAUCUGCCACCAGUCACAGACGAUUGGGUUGUUCAGGCUUUCACUCAAGGUUUGAACGAACGAAGUUCGACGGCUUCACGACGGUUGAAGCAUAACCUGAUCAAAUACCCAGCCAUCAUAUAGGCCGACGUGCACAAUCGGCACCAAUCAAAAAUUAGGGUCGAAGAUGAUCAGUUGGAGUCUGAACCCGCUGAUCAAAGGGAUAUUAAUCGAGAACAAGGUCCGAUCAGGGAUCGAUACCGACCGUACAAUGGAAACCACAGAAUCAGUGAAUCGAGACAUAACCCUGGACAAAAUAACAAAUGAAAUGAUCGAGGUUAAGGGUCCCGAGGGAUGAUGAACAGAAGUAGGUUCGACAAGCCUGCCGGAUCUAAGGAAGCGCCUCGGUUAUCGGAGUAUAACUUCAACAUUGAUGCAUCCGCAAUUGUGUCGGCUAUCGAACACAUCAAAGACACUAAAUGGCCUCGACCCAUAGGCAACUAAGAGAGGAGGUAGCUCGGUUAUUCAACAAAGGGCACCUUAGAGAAUUUUUAAGCGAUAGGGCGAAGAACCAUUUUAUAAACAGGGAUUUCGGCAAGCAAAACGAACAAGAAGAACCACAGCACGUCAUUCACAUGAUCAUCGGUGGCGCCGAUACCCCUCAGGCACCGGUGCUUAAACGCACUAAGACAUCGAUUGUGAGAGAAAAACGAUCUCGAACUCAGGAUUACGCACACAUAGGAACUUUGUCCUUCAAUGAUGAAGAUGCAAAAUGAGUCAUACAACCUCAUAAUGAUGCACUGGUAAUAUCCGUACUUAUGAAUAAAACUAAAGUUAAGCGUGUGUUAAUUGAUCCAGGUAGCUCGGCCAAUAUCAUUAGAUUGAAGGUCGUAGAACAACUCGAUCUACAGGACCAGGUCGUACCCGCAACCUUAGUACUAAACAGAUUCAAUAUGGCAUGUGAAACCACCAAAGGAGAGAUAAUUCUACCGAUAAAUGUGGCCGGGACCUUCCAGGAAAUGAUGUUCCACGUAAUCGAAGGCGACAUGAGGUACAACGCCCUUUUUGGAAGGCCAUGAAUCCAUAACAUGGGAGUUGUAUCUUCGACCCUACUCCAUGUCCUUAAAUUCCCAACAUUGAGGGGAGUCAAAAAUAGUGUACGGAAAAUAACCGGACGCAAGUGAAAUGUUUGAUGUCGAGGAAGCGAAUCCAAUAUCCUCAUCUUCGCCAAUAAAGGGAUCGGGCUAAAAAGGGGAACGAGAUACCAAAUAGCAAUCACAGACAUCAGCUUUAACCCGACUAGAUAAUCAGAAGAUCGAUGAAGAUGAUGAUCAAAGGAUCCCCGAUCCUUCGUGGUUCCCGAUGAUUUUGACGCUACCAAAUCAACGAUUGAGGAGUUGGAUCAAGUCACACUAAUCGAGCACUGUCCCGAAUGGAAGGUAUACCUGGGAACGGGGUUAACCCCCGAACUCAGAAAAAAACUUAUUCAACUUUUUAUCGAUAACGUAGAUUGUUUUGCCUGGUCCCAUUUGGAUAUAACAGGGAUCCCACCGGAUAUAACGACACAUCGGCUAAGCUUGGACCCUAGGUUUAGAUCGGUGAAGCAAAAGAGAAGACCCCAGUCUGAGGUAAAGCACACAUUCAUAAAGGACGAGGUAACCAAACUUCUCAAAAUAGGGUCCAUUCGGGAGGUGAAAUAUCCCGAAUUGUUAGCCAAUGUAGUUGUAGUGCCUAAAAAAGGGAACAAACUUAGAAUGUGUGUAGAUUAUAAGGAUUUGAACAAAGCAUGCCCCAAAGAUUCCUUUCUGCUGCCCAACAUCGAUCGCAUGAUCGAUGCCAUGACCGGCCACAAGAUCCUUACUUUUCUCGAUGCCUAUUCCGGGUAUAAUCAGAUCCAAAUGAACCCGGAAGACCAGGAAAAGACUUCAUUUGUCACCAAGUAAGGAACAUAUUGUUAUAAUGUGAUGCCAUUCGGGCUAAAAAAAUGUAGGAGCUACUUACCAACGCAUAGUAAAUAAGAUGUUCGAGGAACAAAUAGGUAAAUCAAUGGAAGUUUAUAUUGAUGACAUGCUAGUUAAGUCCCUACACGCAGAGGACCAUUUGACCCAUUUGCAGGAAACAUUCGAGAUUUUAAAAAAAUACAACAUGAAGCUCAACUCGAGAAAUGUGCUUUCGGAGCCGGUUCGGGCAAAUUCCUUGGGUUCAUGGUAUCAAAUUGGGGGAUCGAGAUUAACCCCAAUAAAAUCAAGGCCAUCUAAGACAUCACCAUCAUGGACAGCGUGAAAGUCGUACAGAGGCUAACGGGACAGAUUGUAGCCUUAGACCGAUUCACUUCGAGGUCGUCAAAUCGAAGUCACAAGUUUUUCUCUCUACUCAAAAAGAAGAACGAUUUCGCUUGGACCCUGGAAUGCCAACAGACAUUAGAGGAAUUAAAACGGUAUCUAUCGAGCCCACCACUGCUUUAUACUCCAAAAACAGACGAAAAACCUUUCUUGUACUUGGUAGUGUCGGAAAUCGCGGUAAGCGGUGUCCUAGUUCGAGAAGAGCAAGGUACGUAAUUUUCCAUUUAUUUUGUGAGUCGAGCCUUAGGAGAAGCAGAAACUAGAUAUUUGCACCUAGAAAAAUUGGCACUUGCACUAAUAAGCGCCUCUAGAAAGUUUAGACCGUACUUUUAAUGUCACCCCAUAUACGUAUUAACCACUUACCUGCUUCGUAAUAUUUUGCACAAGCUCGAACUAUUAGACCGAUUGGCUAAAUGGGCCGUCGAACUCAGUGGGUACGAUAUCGAAUAUCAACCUCGUACGGCCAACAAGUCUCAAAUUGUAGCGGUCUUCGUGGCCGAUUUCACGCUGACCCUCAUACCCGAAGUCGAAAAAGAACUCUUAUUGAAAUUGGGUACGUCAUCAGGGGUAUGGACCCUUUUUACGGAUGGGGAUUCGAAUGUGAAAGGGUCCGGACUAGGCAUCGCUUUAAAGCCACCCACGGGUAACACUAUUAGGCAAUCUAUCAAAACUACCAGGUUGACUAACAACGAGGCCGAGUAUGAGGCCAUGAUUGCAGGUCUCGUGCUAGCUAAAAUCUUGGGAGAAAAAGUCAUUGUAGCCAAGUGUGACUCUUUGCUGGUGGUAAAUAAAGUAAACAAAACCUUCGAAGUUCGAGAAGAUAGAAUGCAAAGGUAUUUGGACAAACUGCAGGUCACUUUGCACCAUUUCAAAGAAUGGACUUUACAGCAUGUUCCACGAGAGCAAAAUUGUGAGGCUGAUGCACUUGUAAAUUUGGGAUCAUCGGUCGAGGAAGGCGAGAUAAGCUCAGGGACUGUCGUUCAACUCUCGAUAUCCAUGAUCAAAGAAGGUCAUACCGAGAUAAAUUCUACGAGCUUAACCUGGGCUUAGAGGAAUAAGUAUAUUGAGUACUUAAAGAAUGGAAAGCUCUCAUUGGACCCUAAAAAUUCGAGGGCCCUACGAACCAAAGCUGCUCGAUUCACAUUAACUGCAUAUGGAACGCUAUACCGAAGGAUAUUCGAUGGACCAUUGGCAGUAUGCUUAGGUCCAGGAGACACCUAUUACAUCCUACGUGAGGUGCACGAGGGCACUUGUGGAAAUCACUCCGGUAUUGAUUCAUUAGUCCGAAAAAUAAUCAAGACAGGGUAUUAUUGGAUCGAUAUGGGAAAAGAUGCAAAGGAGUUUGUUCGAAAUGUGACAAAUGUCAAAGGUUUUCACCAAUAAUCCAUCAGCCCGGCGAGCAACUUCACUCAGUCUUAUCCUCAUGUCCAUUCAUGAAAUUGCGAAUGGAUAUCGUCGGCCCUAUGCCAUCAGCCCCAGGUAAAGCUAAGUUUAUUUUAUUUAUGAUUGACUAUUUCUAUAAAUGGUUUGAAGCACAAGCAUUCGUGAAAGUAAGAGAGAAAGAGGUUAUAGACUUUAUCUGGGAUCAUAUCGAAUGUCGAUUUGGGAUACCCACCAAAAUAGUGUGUGACAAAGGGAAAUACUUUGUCGGCAGCAAAGUGACAAAAUUCUUUGAAGACCACAAAAUAAAAAGGAUAUUAUCAACACCGUAUCACCCCAGUGGGAACGGACAGGCCGAAUCAACGAACAAAACUAUGAUUCAAAACCUAAAGAAGAGGCACAACAAUGCUAAAGGAAAAUGGAGAGAAAUCCUACCCGAAGUCCUUUGGGCAUAUCGAACAACAUCAAAAUCUAAUAUGGGGGCAACCCUGUUCUCCUUAGUAUAUGGCUUUGAAGCCUUGAUUCCAGUCGAAGUCGGGGAACCCAGUGCCAGGUUUCAAUAUACAAUAGAAGAGUCAAAUAAUGAGGCUAUGAACACUAGCCUUGAAUUAUCGGAUGAAAAACGAGAAGCUGCUCUCGUCCAAUUGGCCGCCUAAAAGCAGCGAAUCGAAAGAUACUAUAAUCGAAGAACCAAGCUUCUCCAUUUUAAACUCGGGGACUUAGUGCUAAGAAAAGUCACCCUCGAUACCCGAAAUCCAAAUGAAGUAAAACUAGGACCGAACUGGGAAGGACCGUAUCAGGUUCUCGAAAACAUCGGAAAAGGAUCAUACAAGCUCGGUAUUAUAAAAGGCAAACAACUAUCAAGCAAUUGGAAUGUGUCGCACCUAAAACGAUACUACUGCUAAGGUACGACCCUCCCAUAUUCGUUUAUAUUUCAAAACUAACCCCUGCAGGAGUCCGAUCAAGAGCUAGGAUGGAUCCUUUAAUACGAAGCCCUAGGUCUGAAAGCACGCGUUGCACUCUUUUUUCCUUAGACCGGUUUUAUCCCAAAUGGGUUUUUCAGCAAUAUUUUUAAUGAAGCAACCAAUAAUCGUGCUAUACUUAGAAACAAUUCGAGAGUAUCCGAGGCUUCUUUACAAUCGACCUCAAAUACUGGGGGGCAUUAGCCCUCAAAUAUAUCAAGUUCUGAUGCAAGAAAUUUAUUUCGUAACAACAGGGUUCCAAUAGGAAAAGGUGUAAGAGCCAAAUGGUCAAAACGAACCAUGAUCAUGUAGUUGGACUGAUCCAUGACACAAAACAUGAACACAUGUAUAAUGACUUGCAAAGAAAGUUCUCUUCUUUACCGAUAUCUUAUAUCCAAGAAAAAUUCUUCUAUUUCAAGAUUUAUUAUGCAAACGGGAUUGAGUUCGAGCAAGCACUCACUCGACUAUUACGCCUAUGGACUACUCUUAUUCCAAGUUCGAACAAGCACUUACUCGACCAUUACGCCUACGGGCUAUAUUAUUUCAAAUUCGAAAUAUUCACUCAACUAAUAAGCCUACGGGCUAUUCUUAUUUCGAGUUCGAGCAAGCACUCACUCAACUAUUAUGCCUACGGGCUACAUUACUUCGAGUUCGAAUCAUUCACUCAACUAAUAAGCCUACAUGCUACUCUUAUUCUGAGUUCGAGCAAGCACUCACUCGGCCAUUACGCCUACGAGCUACAUUACUUCGAGUUCGAAACAUUCACUCGACUAAUAAGCCUACGAGCUACAUUACUUCGAGUUCGAAAACAUUCACUCGACUAUUACGCCUACAUGAUAUAUUACUUCAAGUUCGAAUCAUUCACUAGACCAUUAAGCCUACGGGCUACAUUACUUCGAGUUCGAAACAUUCACUCGACUAAUGAGCCUAUGGGCUACUCUUAUUCCACGUUCAAGCAAGCACUCACUCGACCAUUACGCCUACGGGCUACAUUACUUAGAGUUCGAAACAUUCACUCGACUAAUAAGCAUACGGGCUAUUCUUAUUCCGAGUUCUAACAAACACUCACUCGACCAUUACGCCUAUGGGCUACAUUACUUAGAGUUCGAAACAUUCACUCGACUACUAAGCCUACGGGCUACAUUACUUCGAGUUCAAAAACAUUCACUCGACUAUUACACCUACGAGCUACAUUACUUCGAGUUCGAAUCAUUCACUCGACCAUUAAUCCUACGGGCUACAUUACUUCGAGUUCUAAACAUUCACUCGACUAUUAAGCCUACGGGCUACAUUACUUUGAGUUCGAAUCAUUCACUCGACUACUAAGCCUACGAGCUAUUUUUAUUUUGAGUUCGUUCAAGCACUCAUUCGACUAUUACGCCUACGGGCUAUAUUACUUCGAGUUCGAAUCACUCACUCAACUAAUAAGCCUAAGGACUGCAUCAUACUUUAAGUUCAAACAAUCAGUCAACUCGAUUACUAAGCUUAUGGGCUACCUUANNNNNNNNNNNNNNNNNNNNNNNNNNNNNNNNNNNNNNNNNNNNNNNNNNNNNNNNNNNNNNNNNNNNNNNNNNNNNNNNNNNNNNNNNNNNNNNNNNNNNNNNNNNNNNNNNNNNNNNNNNNNNNNNNNNNNNNNNNNNNNNNNNNNNNNNNNNNNNNNNNNNNNNNNNNNNNNNNNNNNNNNNNNNNNNNNNNNNNNNNNNNNNNNNNNNNNNNNNNNNNNNNNNNNNNNNNNNNNNNNNNNNNNNNNNNNNNNNNNNNNNNNNNNNNNNNNNNNNNNNNNNNNNNNNNNNNNNNNNNNNNNNNNNNNNNNNNNNNNNNNNNCCUCCGGGAGAGGUCUCUUCUCCACCGGGCUCCCCCCCCCCCACUUCUCUGACCCGCUCUUACUCUCACCAUCAUCAUCAUUAUCAUCAUCGUCGUCAUCAGAAGCCAAGGCUUAAGCGUCGGCUUCGAGUUCUUUGGCCAUUUUUAUCUCUUCAACGAGGUCGAAACCUCGAGCAUGGAUCUCCUCGGGGGUCUCCCUCCGGAAUAGGCACUUAGCAAGUUCAACGACCCAAUGUGCUCGAGUAUCGGCGGUCUUGGCUGCCUCUCUUGCUUGGACUUGGGUAGCUUCAGCAUCGUCCUGAUAGAUGGCCACGAGUGUAUCCGCAUCAGCCUUUGCCUUUUUAGCAUCAUAUUCGGCCUUGGCAGGUCCAGAGGCCAACCGAGCCUCAAGCUCCUUUAUUCUUCUUGCUUGAACCGAGCCUUUCUCCUUCAUACUUUGAAGUUGGUUUUCGGUCGAUGAUAAUUGGUCUCGAGCAGCUUUUUUCUGUGCAGCAAAGCAGUCCAUACCUUCUUUCCACUUCAAAGACUCCGCUUUUAUCACAUCAACCUCCUCACGGAGUUUCCCGAUCAUCUCAAUUUUCUGCUGCGGCUAUGAGACCAAAAAAUUAGCCAUCAUUCUGGUAUUGAGCCCAUAGGCUUUUAAAAGUAUCAUUACCUGCUCGGACAGGUCGGCCUGAUCUUGGUUAGCCUUGGCCAACUCAGCCCGGAUGUCUUUUAUUUCCUCUCCCAUUUCCCUAAGAGGAGUUUAAGGGAGUUCCUCUCCUCCGUAACCCGUUGAAGAUCGGCAUCAUUUCGACGCAGCUCGGUUCGGGACCGAGAACAUGCUUCUUGAUGAACUGUCGCAGCCUGCAAAGAAAGAAGAAACGAAGUUAGAAAAGAAAAGCAAACAUAAAGGUAAUGCUAACAAAAUAAUUUAAGGCUUACCUGAUUCAAAGCCUGCUGCACUGCGUAAAAAAGAUCUGAUGCGUCACUUGUACCGAUAGCAUCCUCGACACCGGUAAACAGGUCACGAAAAGGAUCCCUUCUAUCAUGAGGCAUGUUUAGUUCGAGGGCCCCAAAAGCUUGGGCUUCCUGAAUCGCCUCUACGAAAAAAGAAGGGAAGGUGGGCGAGUCUUCGAUUUCUACUGCCCCAAGUGAAUCACUUGGAGCAUUCUCUUCGGUUCGAAGACAUUCGGGGAGAGCCCCUUCAGACAUAUCCCCCAUUCGUUGGAUUUGAUGGGAAGCAUCUUCGAUCUCCAACAACUCCGGGACUCCGCCGGAAUCUUUCUCCGAUAUAUCCUCAAUCUGAGGCAGAGCCUUAUGAACCACCAUUGAUCUAGCUACCUGUGGAACGUCGGUGGUCUUCUUCAUUCUGGCCGCCAGCGCGAACCCAUCAUUUUUUUUUCUUCUUCGUCUUCAUCCCUUAGACGCAGAACUGAUUCUACGAUCAAAGGAAUGGUAUUCUUGUUCGGCUUACGAGCCGUCCUCUUCUUUUGUUUUGGAUCUUAGGGAGUGGAGGCUAUUUUCCUCUUAUUAUCUUUCACCGGCUUUGGGACAGAGGCCGAAGCCUCUUCCUCAAUGGACGAGGGCCUAAAAACCGCAUAUUUGCCCACACAUACAUAUGGAAAGUUUCAUUGAAGUAUAUAGAAAGAAUCUCGUUCGAACUACCAAAAGGUAUGAGGAAGGGGCUUACCAUGAUUUUUGGCCUCCUAUCGGCCCUUUGACAAAUCACGCCAUGAGCGCUCGGCGUAUGUGGAGGUCAAAGCCAGAGCUCGUACCCAGUUCUUGAGAUCGGGAACUGCUCUAGGCAUUUAGUGAACCACUGCAUCACAAAAAGAGGAAUAUCAAUGAGAAAAAAAAUAGAAAGGUAAAAUAUAAAUAAGUAACAACAGAAUUACACUUACGUUUCAUAUUCCACUCCUCGGGAAAAGGCAUCUUUUCAGUCGGAAUCAGGUCCGAAGUCUUUACUCGAACGAACGUGCCCAUCCAGCCUCAUUCCAUGUCCUCGUCUAUGCUCGAGAAAAGAGCCUUGGUAGCCCGACGCUGAAGUUUUAUUAACCCUCCUCGAAAAAGGCGAGGACGGUAUAAUCGGAUGAGGUGGUCGAGGGUGAACGACAUCCCCUUGAUUUUGUUCACAAAGUAUCGAAUCAAAAUAACGAUCCGCCAAAAAGAAGGAUGGACCUGGCCUAGGGUUAUUUGGUAUUAUCGGCAGAAGUCAAUAAUAACAGAGUCGAGGGGACCUAACAUGAAAGGUUAAGUAUACACACUUAAAAUCCCUUUCACGUAAGUGGUGAUAUCUUCGUCAGAAGAAGGGAUUAUUAUUUAUUUGUUCUCCCAAUUGCAAUCUUUCUAUAGCUAUUUAAGGUGCCUCUCGGUCAUCGAACACAUGUACUUCGAUACUGGCUCUCAUCGGCUGGGAACCGAUGAGACUUUAUCGACCUUAAAAUCAGAGGUAAGAACACACGCCCCAGGAACGUACUCCUCAGGCCGUGGCUCUACCGGUGUUUCGUCGGCGGCAGACUGUGAAGAUGAAGCUUUCUCUUUCUGAGGAAUAGUUUGUGAUGUUUUCACCAUUUUCGAAUUUAAAGGUCGAGAAUAAAAGAAAGUAACAAAGAUUUGGUAAUUUUGAAGAAGGGCUUUUGCAAAGAGGAAUCACAUAUUUGUGAAUAAACUCAGAGGAUACAAAAAACAACUUGGGAAAUUUGGAAGAUUGAAGAUGUAAAAGUGAUAAAUGCUAAAAGGAAGGGCUAUUUAUAGAUUAAAGCAAUGACGGUUCGGUAUCAGCGGUGGCCGACCACCGUCUGACAUGCAUUAAAUGCCUUGAAAAACUAAAUCGAUGGUACAGUUAUCACAUGCGUCAUGAUCGAGCCCAAUGUAAACGCCAGCUUAUAAUCCAAUCGAGCCAUUAAAAAAUCAUAUUUUUUAUCACCACAUCCUUCCCGAUAAACGAGGGGACUAUCUAUAUACGGUCAAAAUAGAUUCCGGCCUUCGUACGAUUGAUCGAGGUCUAAACAUAAUGGAUCGAAGAAAGACUUCGUAAUAUCGAGAUGGGUUCCGAAGAUGGUACAAACAAGCUUCGGAAUUUAGGUAUAGGUCAAUCACCGAGUUCGAAGUCAUCAUCGAUCUCGGGUCCGAAUCGAACUAUGAUGAGAUGAUUUCGAGCUUAAGGGGCAGAGGCCAACCGGGACCAAGUCCGAAUCAUCACCUGAUCCCGAGUCCAUAUCGAGCUCCAUAAGCACUAACGACCAGCACUGAGGCCGAUCAAGCUCGAGCUCACAGACAAGAGCCGUUGCAAACACACUAAGGGAGAGAAUCUCGGCGGAAAUUAGGGAAAAGCUAAUUUAUCAUGGAUUCUCUACUAUGUAUUUUUAAAUAUAUCUAAAAUAGGAUCCUCCACUAUAAAGAGGAUGGCUACAUUUCUGUAGAGGGCAAUUGUUUUUUUGCUUACAUUGUAAUUCAAGCACCAUACUCUUCUAUAUUCAAGGAUUAUUCUUUUAAGCUUCAUUAAUUGAUUCAUUAUGCUUAGUCCUAAAAAUCAUCUUCUCUCCAAUCUUGUUUAUUUUGCAUUCUUUUCAAUCCAUAUUUGAUAUUUUUAUUUAUCCCAAUGAUUUGUAUCAUGCUACAUCACAUAUCCUUAGAACUACGUACAAAUUUAACUCUAUCCGUUUUUCGAGUAAACACUUAGUAUAUUAUUAAUUAGUUUCUUAAAAGAUGAAUUCAUAUCUCUCUUUUUUAUAAAUAAAAAAAAUAUUACACAUAGGUGGAAGGGGAAAGUGGAGGUGGAAAUUACGAGGUGGUGAAUCGAACUAUCACGAACAAGGUCAAAAUUAAGAUAGCCAACAAAGUUGUUGAGUAUCGAGAUUUUGAUAAUUAAUAAAGUUUGUUUAAAUGCAAUGAUUCAAAGAAACAGGUCCUCAACGUAGCUGCUUAACUGUUCUAAGAACCACCUCCUCAGGGUAAAGGACCAGCUCUUCUGGUUGAUGAUUGUACGUCUGUGCAAGACAGUAACUUUAUCUCAAAGUUAUCCAGGUCCGAGUUUGGUGGAAGAAGGCUACUACAUGUGAUAAGGGUUGUUGCCCAAGAAGAUAUGAAUAAUUCAGUUUGAGACAAGAGUCCCAAAACUUGUGGAGUCCUUGGAACAGUAGGAGUUCUAUCAAAGGAAAGGUUGACUAUGCAUAGGACUCCUAGAAGAUCCCAAAGUCCAGGCGUUUAAAUACUAUAUACUUUGGACUUUUGAUUUGAUCCUUCACACAUCAAUUGGAGAAUUAUUUGUUGUCCACUCUAGUCGAGUACCAGUAAUGUGUUAUUCUUGAGUCAGUCUAGUGAAUGUAUUUUAGGAAAUUGAGCUGUAAUCAAGUAUCACAAACAAUUAUUGAGUUGGAGUAAGUAUUUGCUUUACAAGUUAGAGUAACUUGUAAAUCAAAUAGUCGUUGUAGGAGUACUGGAGAGUAUUGAAUUACAGUCUUGUAAUUGAUAUAUUUUGGCUCAUUGUUCUAGUGGAGUUGAAGCUAAAAAUCAUACGUAGUAGGACGUGGUUUUUGUGCCUUUUAAGCCGGGAGAUUUUUCACGUAAAAAUCGAUGUGUUUACUUUACGCUUACUUUACUUAAAGUUUAAGGAACAUGGUAAAGAACCAAGUUCUUUAGUAAAUUAUACGGCCACUUAAACUAACAAUUGGUAUCAGAGUAGGUUCUCUCACACACACUGCUAGAACCUAGAGAGAUCUUGGAGGUAAGAUGAGUGUUCUAUGUGGAAUUAAUGAAGCACAAUCAACUACCAGACCACCCAUGUUCAAUGAAAAAUAUUACAGUUGGUAGAAAGCAAGAAUGAAAGACUUCCUGACAGCUGAAUACUAUGAACUAUGGACCAUAGUGAAGAAAUGUCCAUUUACUCAUACUAAACAAAAUGCACAAAAUGAAACAGUUCCUAACGACCCUUCUGAAUUUGUGGCAGCAGAUUUCAGAAUGAUGGAGAAAAAUGCAAAGGCUAAGAAAGUUCUUAUCUGUGGACUUGGUCCUGAUGAGUACAGUAGAAUCUCUAUGUGCUCUAACGCAAAGAAGAUAUGAGAUGCACUCCAAACUACUCAUGAAGGAACAAACCAAGUGAAGAGAUCAAGGAUAGAACUACUUAUAAGAAAAUCCUUCGAUAUCCUCCACUGUACCUACAUCAAUCAUUCCCUAUUCUUGCUACUCUCACCAUCCCCACCUCCACUGCACCCCCACUUCCAAAACCAACCACCAAUGUAUCUAUGCCUAUUGCGAAAAUACCUCUAAGUCAACCAAGGUCAACGAUACUCCAAGAAAAUCUGUCAAGAAUGUCAAGGUAGUGUCGGAUGCUACUACUCAAGUAGACACAGUGGUCAAGGAAGUUCAUGGGAAUCAUUUCCAGUCACUACUAGUCAUGUAAAAAUCCCUCCUUCAAAUUUAUAUAUUUUCGUAUCUGCUAUAGAUGUUGCACCCUUAGACACUCUCCCACACACAAGUGAGAAACCACAAGUGGAGGAAUUCACUGUAGAAAACGAUGCAGACAAUCUGGGGAAAGAGGUAGAUACCACUAUUGUGGUGCCUCUGGUUGAGGGGAAAAGAGGUAAAGAACCAGUACAAAAGAAGGCAUCUGAUGAUCUUUCAUUUAGUUGGACGGAGGAUGAGGAUGAUAAUAGGGGUGAAAAGGAUGAAGGAGUUGUGGACAAUCAUGAGAAGCAUAAUGCUCAAGACAUAUCUAAUGAAGAAGAAAAGAGUGAGAAUGAGGGAGAUUAUGUAGAAGAAAAGGGGAGUGAUACAGAUGAUAGGAUAGGUGAACAAGUAAAUGAUUCUGCAGAAGAAGAAAAUAAUAGUGAAGAAGAACGUAAUUCUGAGAGCUAGGGUGAGAAUCAAGAAAAAUUAAGUGAGAGUGAAUGAGUGAAUGAAGAAAGUGAGGAAGAGAAUGGGAAUAUGAGUGAGGAAUCUGAAGGCUUUAUGACCAUUGGGAAUACUGUCAUACCCCAUUCAGAAGAAACUAGUGAAGAGAAAAGGACUCGAGAACUUGGGACUUUGUUAACUCUUUUCAGUGGAGAUGAAGAGGUUAGCAGUGAUGAAGAUGACUUGCCAUUGUCUGAGGUAAGGAAGAAACCCAGGAAGACUCUUGUGAAAGCAAUAAAGUUAGCAGUUCCAACAAGGAAAGAAGUGGCUCCUUGUGCCAGGACUCCUCUUAAAAGGAGUAAAAGAAAGGAUGAUGAUGAAAAAAUCAUUAAGGAGUCAAGAAGUGCCAAGAAGCCAAGGAAGAAAGUUUCAAUUAUGGAAAGUUUAUUUAAAUGCAAUAAUUCAAAUAACCAGGUCCUCAAUGUAGCUGCUUAACUGUUCUUAGAACCAACUCCUCAGGGUAAAGGAUCAGCUCUUUUGGUUGAUGAUUGUACGUCUGUGCAAGACAGUAACUUUAUCUCAAAGUUACCAGGUCCGAGUUUGGUGGAAGAAAGUUGCUACAUGUGAUAAGGGUUGUUACCCAAGAAGAUACGAAUAAUUCAGUUUGAGACAAGAGUCCCAAAACUUGUGGAGUCCUUGGAACAGUAAGAGUCCUAUCAAAGGAGAAGCUCACUAUGCAUAGUACUCCUAGAAGAUCCCAACGCCCAGGCGUUUAAAUACUAUCUAAUUUGGACUUUUGAUUUGAUCCUUCACAUAUUAACUAAAGAAUUAUAUAUUGUUCAAUGUAGUCGAGCACUAGCAUUGUAUUCUUCCUGAAUCAGUCUAGUGAAUAUGUUUUAGUAAAUUGAGUUGUAAUCAACUGUUACAAACAAUUACUGAGUUGGAGUGAGUAUUUGAUUUACAAGUUAAAGUAACUUUUAAAUCAAAUAAUCGUAGUAGGAGUACUUGAGAGUAUUGAAUUACAGUUUUGUAAUUGAUACAUUUUGGCUCCUUGUUCUAGUGGAGUUGAAGUUAGUUAAUAUUUCUCACGGACAAAUAAAAAUAAAUUUAAUUUUUUUAUUAGAGAUUAAAUAGGGUGACUUGAAAUACUUAAACCCAAUUUCAAAUAGCAACUCUUAAGCAAAUAAAAUAAUUUCUAUUCAAAACCGUCACUUCAAAUGAAAAAUCCUUUAACCAUUUAAUUCCUUGUAAACGAGGAAUCUCCUUGAAGGCCAGAGAAAAUUUUUCUUGUUAAAGAAUUCACACAAAAAAUCCAAAAUGAUGGCAAACAUUAUUGUACGUGUGUUCCUUUUCCAUUUUUACAUUGUUUAUUAUUUUUCCAGUUCUCUCGCUAUAACCAUUCAAGAAAAGCUUGCGCAUUUUGAACCUAAACAAAAUUUCACUAGCAAUAUGACAUCGAUGACCCACGAAGUGCCUUUUCGCACCGACCUAAUCAUGGUUUCGUUAUUAAUAUUUCAAUUGGUUAGUUUUUUGUCUACAUGAUGGUACUGAUAGGCAUGUGUAUUAAUAUAUUUUGGAUUCAGUGAUACCCAUGUGUCAUAUCCGUAAAAUCGAGGGUAAAUUUAUGUUUCGAAAACUCUAGCAAUGAGUCCUCAUUUUCAAGGCCAAUUUAAACUCUUUGGAUUCAACCUUUAAUGCCCUAGCAUUGACAUCACUGUAUUUUUAAAAUUAUGGGUUCAGACUAAAGUUGUAUAAAAAAAACCGACAAACCAUGUCGAACCGAUAAAUCGAGUCAAACCUUGAAAAAAGUAUUGAAUCAGAUAAACCUAAUGUCACAACGUUACAUCCGCCUCUUCUCAUCUUGGCCAUGGAUGCAAUGGAUAAUAUUUUUUUACUCCCCCGUCUCCCUUCUCACCUCAGAGGAUCUAGUUAUUAUUUUCUUAAUUUAGAGAGGUGAAAUAAAAUUUUCUCUUACAAGUAAGGAUGCAUUUUUUUCUUGCACACCAUUUUGCAAAAUCGUCUGGCAAUUCUUUUAUGAAAGGGCAAGUUACGAAUAAUAAAAAUUAGGAGCAUUGUAGUAAUAGUUGGAAAAAACGGUAACAAUAUGUUCGUAUUACGAAAUCUAAGAGAACGACAAUAUUAAGUGAGAACUGUAACAUUAUGUGUUCAUCUAAAUCGAGUCAAACCGAUGAAUAUGAAUCGAGUCAAAUGAAGUCAAGUUUAGACACAAAGAGUUAACAUUAAGAUAGAACAUCAGAAAAUCUAGAGAAAGGAAUAUAUAAAAUCCGAGUUGCUGAAGCUGAAACAACUGCAUUUGAAGUAACAAAAAGAAAAGCAUAAAUUAUUGUGUGUGGGGAGGGGGGGGGGGUUCGAGUCAAAAGGAGGAUUUCCUCAUGAAUUGCAUGAGACUUUCAUCUCACACGACUCCUAAGUUAUAAAUUUCCUCAUUUACCUGCAUGAGACUUUCAUCUCACAUGACUCUUAAGUGAUAAAUUUCCUUCUUUAAUAGGAGUAUGUAUUACUAUCAAAGACAACAAUCUCUAUAUUCUCAUUCUCAAAUUUAAGACCAUCCGCUGGCAAAUCCAACAAUUUCUUGGCUUGAAUCUUGUUCAAUCCAUAAACACGUGCAAUCCAUAGCAGUUUAGGAAUUAAUCGAAACAACUCUAAACCUAAUUUUUCUCGAUUUCCUCUUCCCAUUAAUAUAUAUCUCUCUUCAUUCUAUUUUUUAACCGAUAAUCAGUAAGAUUAGCAAGUUAAAGAACCAUGUGGUGAUCCAUUUUUCUAUUCCAUUGAGAUGAUGCAAUUUCAGAAAACUAGUCAUAUGCCAAAAUCAAAUAUAUUUCGCAGUUUGGUAGACAAUAUAUAUCCAGGUUAUCUACACCACAAUUUUCCUAAUUUGAUAAACCAAGUCAAUUUAAAACUUCGAUGGAGAAAUAAAAAUUUGCCCAUAACCUAUAGAAACAAUACGCAGAAUAAUGAUACAAUAUCAAAAUACAACUGAACUAGAUAUAAAAUAUCAUGUGCACUAAAAGAAUGAAAAGUCACACUAUAACAGCCACCAAAACACCUAUCAGAGUGUGAACCAGUGUGAGCUCAACGUCACUGAGGGUAGUAACAUGUGGACUUGCUUCUGGAUUUGGCACAUGUGAACUUGCCUCCGGAUGUGGCGUAAAGAAAAGGGAAGUAGAUACAAGUGACUCUCCAUGUCACUGAGGAAACAAAAAUAUAACAUAAUUAUACCAUUAGUGUCUUGAGAUACAUAAAGGAACAAAGACGAAAUAAUAAUAAUAAGAUUAAUAGGGAAAAAAAGAAUGCAACCAAUUAGCUUAAUUACGGUUUGUAAUUUACUCAAUGUUUUCUUGAUCGGUUCCACCUUUGUUUGCAUCUCUACACAUAUAUGCAAGUUGCAGUGCCUUGAGACUAAAACUCUUUGGCUUACUCACUCUCCGUUUGCUGGUCCAGCAUGACCAACUUUCAGCUAGAAGGCGCUCAAAGCGUUCCUUGGAUCUUGAAGCCAUGAUUUAAUUACGCCACCUUUGCAACAAUUUUCAAUUUGUUGCUCGGGAGGUGUUUGUGGAGUCAUGUCCACAAACGUUGGGUUCUUCUUGCAGCAAUAUGGGUUUUUCCCUUUGAACCAUGAACAAUCACCUUUCUCACUAGCUAGACCUCCAAGCACACUUCAAAUUAUUUCGUGUUUGGUCUAUGUCCAACCCAGUUGCCAUCCUAGUGCUUGAAUAGGAUACUUCUGGAAAUUGUAGAUGGAAACAACAACCUAUAAAAAAACACUCUUUGUGUCAAACAAAACUCCAAUAAACUCUGGAUGAUAACUUAAGCUAAUAAUGAAGUUGUUAUCAUCAGAAAAAAGAAACCCGAGUUUCUAUGUUUGCACAAAUGCAAAUUGAUGGGGAGGUCAUGACUUUUGAGAAAAAAGUGUCAUGUUCUAUUUCAGUAAAAGUUAAAAAGGAAAAGAUAUCCAUAUGAUUUAUCUUUGAGGAGUGAGGGGUCAAAUUUAAAUCCUUGAAUGAUGUCAGGCAAUAAUACAUGUUGGUAAACGCGGAAAAAGCUCACAAUGUAUCCAUCUGGAGUCCAAGUCUUGAUAUCCCACUUGAUGGUAAUAUUUCCAUUGGAGUCGUGUCCAUCAUAACAAUCUGUAUACACAGAAACAAAAUUUGAAAAUUGAACACAGAUAAUUCAAAUUAAGGUAAACGACAAGGAACUAUAGUUCAAAGGAGUCAACAAAAACUUUCUAGAGUUUUCCGAAUCAAUAAACAUACAAUUCAGUCAUAUGGGCAAGGCCAAACUCGUAAGAAUUUCAAGCCAUCAUAAUUAGUAAGAUAACAUUUACUUUAAAAUACGUUUUGCAGUGGAAGAUUUAAUAAACCAAUAUAGUAUAAGAUGAAUCUCAAAAUCUAGAAACUUGGAUAAUACCAUUCCAGUAUCCACCACUUGUAAGAAAAGAAUCGAUGAGCCGUGGAAUGAAGCAAUCAUAGUUAAAGCAAUAAAAAUUUGGGAAUCAAUACAGAGUAUUAAUAUUACAUUAAUAAGAAGAUUUCAAGUUAAUAAGAUUUUAACCACCUAUAUAUAAUGCAUUACCUUGGAUCUUAUUAUAAAAAAUAUUAUUUACCAAGUGAAGAUUUGAGUAGCUUAAUUCAAAGUUUUAAAAUAUUUCUAUUGUUAAAAAAUAGAUAAUUUUUCUUUUUACUUUUAUAAGGAGUAUGUACUUUUUUAUCUUUUUUCUAUAAAUUUCAAUAUUGUCUAGAAUAGAUUGGUCGUACACGUAGUCAGGAGGAUUAUAAAACGACGAAGAUUAUUUGGUAUCUUGCAAUUGUUUUUACUUACCUUUAAAAAGAAAAAGAUAAGAAAACAAAAACAGCAACCAAUCACAUUGUGAGGAUCUAGAAUUAUGUUACUCUUCAAAUACGAAGCCAAACUACAAAAAAUACAUAACCCUAAUAAAGUUGCACAUGAUGAUCAUGAUAUUCAGUAAUUUAAUCAUCUUUUUAUAUAAUUGUAAUCCAUAGUAAAGUGGCUAGACAAUAACCAACUGUAAUUUAGAAUUGCAUAAUUGAAUUAUGAUUUUAAUUAAAUUAUGCUUGACAUGCAAAAAAAACCUUUCGACCUACUUCUUGGCUAUAACAAAUGUGCGCGUUACAUUUAUUACCUACACUCUUCCUCUCUUCUUUGUAUUGACAAACACAAGCACAAAUUAACUACUAGAAAAAUAGCUAAAGUUUCUGAGUCGAGUGAGUCAGAGGUUUUCGGGUCAAAGUCGAGGCUCCGUUCGUAGCUCCUGUUUCGGUCAAGCAACAUGUAAUCAAACCACUAUGGUUAAAAGCAAUAAAGAUCCAUUUCUUUCUUUAUUCUUAUUCUCUUACUAUUUGAUUUUGUUUAAGUUAUUUGGAAGAUUUGUUUCUAUUGUGCUUUCUGUGCUCCUUUGUGAAAAUGGCGUGAUGUUUUGGUUCAUUUAUUUGGUGUUCUGUUUUGAAUCUAUUAUUUUGUUUCAUGAGCAUGUGGUUUUAAGUUUAACACUAUUAUUUUAGUUUGUUUAAUGAAAGUUGAAAAUAGGAAACAGAGAUACAUUUUGGACCAUUGUCCAUUAGUUAAGCCAGUUGGGCCCUAGAGUGCUUUGUUUUCUAGGGGCAAGUGCACAAAUAGCUAUUUUUAGGUAUGUUAAUUAGAGAUUAGUCGCUCUCGCCGCGGGAGCAGCUCGAGCAGUCCACCGACAGCCGACGAGUUCGGGACUGGGACCCCCGUGCCCAGCCCUCAGAGCCAAUCCUUUUCCCGAAGUUACAAUGCUUAUUUUGUCCUAAAAUCUUAAUCUAAAAAUCUCAAUUUCAGGACAAUUAAGGACUUUUUUAUCCGAAAAUUUGAACUGAAAAACUGAAAUUCGGGAUGCAUUGCUAAUUCUUAAAUAACAACCCUUUAAAGCGGCUGCCUGGUGUCUUUCUACUAGUUUCCGGUAAUUAAUAAUGGGUCAAAUGAAUUAAGGAUUGUUACACAAAUAGCCAGCCAGAUUCAACGUUUACUUUUUAUAGCCCGUAUACAUAGAUUAUACAUUGAUUAUACACAAUUGAACAUAUAGUAUACAUGAGUUAUAUAUAUAUAUUAUAUAUCCGCCGACUAUUUUUAGUUAAAAAGAGUAAGUGUGUAGCUAUUUGGGUCAAUUCUUUAAUGAAUUAUAUAUGCCAUGCCCAAUUCAAUAAAGCGACAAGCUGGCCCCCUUUUUUUUAAAGUCCAUAAAUAAAUGAAUAUUUCAAUUCCGAGAACGUUAGCUUUUAUUAUGAUCACGGAUAGGUUUUCGUGGCAUGAUUAUGACAUUUAAUUAAAGAUGGGCCGGUAUUCCGCGUCAAUUGAUUUUUUGGCUAUUUAUAAACUUAUUUUUAGUUUUAUGAUCCUACUUCCUUUUUACACAUGUGAGAUGUAUUUUUACACGUAAGAGAUCUGUCUUUUACACAUAAGAAAUUUAAAAAGAUAAUUUUCUUAAAUUCAAAAUUGUAAAGGGGCAUGAUGUAAAAAUAGCACUCCAUUACGCGACUUGACCAAACUAAAUAAUUUUAUUGUGGUCAUGAAUACAUUUGUGUGGUAUGAUCAUGACAUCUAAUAAAAAGAAAGGGCAAGGACAUGUACGCGUGCCUUGUCCAAAAUACUUUUAAUAACAAUCAAGUUGUAAUAGGCUAAUCACAACCAAUAAAGCAUAAGAAUAUUCAAGAAUUAAUUUAAGUCAAUAAAAGUUAUCGUGCAAAAAUCAGGGGACAAGGGGUGUCUCACAUUUUCCCCUCAGUUAAUAUAAUUCCUUAUUUAGUCUUAUGUUCUCACGAACCAAUAAAAAUAGAGUCAAUUUUUUUUAUUAGGGAUUAAAUAAGGUGACUUGAAAUACUUAAACCCAAUUUCAAAUAGCAACUCUUAAGCAAAUAAAAUAAUUCCUAUUCAAAACCGUCACUUCAAAUGAAAAAUUCUUUAACCAUUUAAUUCCUUGUAAACGAGGAAUGUCUCCUUGAAGGCUAGAGAAAAUUUCGCUUGUUAAAGAAAUCACACAAAAAAUCCAAAAUGAUGACAAACAUUAUUGUACUUGUGUUCCUUUCCAUUUUUACACUGUUUAUUAUUUUUCCAGUUCUAUUGCUAUAACCAUUCAAGCAAAGCUUGCGCAUUCUGAACCUAAACAAAAUUUCACUAGCAAUAUGGCAUUUAUGACCCACGAAGUGCCUUUUUGCACCGACCUAAUCAUGGUUUCGUUAUUAAUAUUUCAAUUGGUGAGUUUUUUGUUUACCAGCUGGUACUAAUAGACAUCGAUAUCAAUAUGUUUUGGAUUCAGUGCUACCCAUGUGUUAAAUCUAAAGAUCAAAAAGAAAUUUCUCAUCCUGAUAAAUUAUCAAAAUAUCUUGAAGUACUUGGACGCUCUUGGACAUGUCACGCACUCAACUCAUAAUAUGGUGAAAGAUUUGAGCAUGUAUACACAUCAGGAUACUCAUAUUACACUUGGUGUAGAGGUACUAUUAGUAGGGACAGGGGCGGAUCUACAUAGAGCCUUGCGGGUGCUUGAGCACCCAUUAACCCCGACGCGGAGUAUGCAUAAUUAUAUAGAAAAUAUGACAAAGUCAAUAAAUGUAAUAAGAAAGCACCCAGCAAACAAAAUUUUUGAUGGUUGCUUUGGCAAAGGAUGGGUUCUGAGAGCUUGUUGACGCGGGUAGCGAGGGUUCGAAUCUUCAUUCUACACUAAUUUUAUGUGCAAUUUACUCUUUAUAGUUUAGGUCUUAUUGUCGUUUCUUUCAGCACAUACGACAUGUUUUCCACCAAACUAGUCCCUUUUUUUUCCUUUUCUUGACAGACUUCAUUGUUGGCUUCUUGAUUUAGUUCUUCUUUUUGCUUUUCCUUUAUCUGGUUGAUUAUAGAUAAUAAUAAUAAUAAUAGAAAAAACUAGCUUCCAAAAAACUCCAAGCCCUUCUUGAAAUUUUAUCUAACUGUUUAAUUUGAUAUAUAGAGCGUAAAAUAUUUGCAAGUGUAAGCAAUAAUGCUAUUAUAUUAUCUUUUUCAUAAUAUAAAAAGUCCAGUACAGUUGUGGCUUGUGACUGGAAGUCUCUUUUUAAUGAUAAUAUUAAGUGUAAUUCUCUUGUUUAACUUUUUUAUUGUCGUGUUCAAAUAGUUGUGCACUUAUACUAUGUGAUCGAUAGUAACUUUACGUUAAAAAAUAAAGCACCCACGACCUUAAAAUCCUGGAUCCGCCACUGAGCAGGGAAACUCUUCAUUUCAUUACCUCCGUCAACGAAGUUGAGAGUGUUCCUGAUAUAGCUUUUCAGUGCGCAACAUAUAAUGUUGGAGGCAACUUCGGGGACAAGUUUAGUGGUAUAACUAGUUUAGGUCCCAAUAAGAUAUUAGUGUUCGAGUGUUGACACAAACAGGGUCUGGAUUUUCAUACUUCAUUAACUAUAGUCACCUCAUCAUAUAUGAUAAACCAAGGUUAGCAGGGAUCUCACACACCUUAAGAUUUAUAAUAGUUCAUAUCAUUAUGCUAAAUAGGAUUAGCAUCAGAGGAAAACUUGUAGUAGAUAAAACGUUGUAUUUUUCUCAACUUACGGAUAGAGGUGGAGUUACAUUUGACAAGGGGUGUACUCAAGUAACCUAUUUGCAUAAAACAACUUUUAAGCUAUUGAGUGCAAAAAAUAAAAUCUAUAUGAAAGCUGGAAACUUGCAAUAGGUUUCAGAUAGGAUAUACCGACAGUAAGUAAUUAUGCUUUUACGCGCAUGUCUGAAAGGAUGUAAAAUAUUUUCUCGGUGUCACAUUUAACUUUAGUGAAUGUGCUGAUUUAUCCUUGGGAACAAAUGCUCUGUUUGAGUAUUUUUGCAUGACUAUUCAGUCAAUAUUGCCACAUUCGUCUUUUGUAGAACAUUAAUUAGAAGAUCCUACAAUUGUAGGUAUACCAGCAAUGCAAGACCACAAUUUCGAGUAUGAUAAUUAAAAACAAAUGUACAUAGAGGAUGUUGACUGCAAGACACUGUCAAAUGCACAUCCGUCGUCUAUGUACAUCAAACUCGAAAUUACGGUCUUGCAUUGCUGAUAUACCUAUAAUUGUGACAUCUUCGUUAAAGUGAAAUGUCACGUCGCGAAAAUCUUCUACAUCCUCUAAUGCAUGCUCAUAUAAAAUAAUAAUAAUCAUCGUCAAUAUACCUGUUUGCAACCAGCCGCAAGUUCCAAACUUUCAUUUAGCUUUUCAUUUUUUGCACUCAAUAAUAUGCAAAUAGGUUGUUGGCGACCUCUUGUCAAAUGUAAUUCUGCCUCCAUCCCUAGGUUGAGAAGAAAAUAACUUUCUGUUUACUGCAAGUUUUCCUCCAAUACUAAUCCCAUCUAGCAUCAUAUAAUAUGAACUAAUAUAAAUCUCAUAGGGUGUGGGAUCCCUAUCUAACCUUGCUUCAUCACCUAUGAUGAGGUGACUAGAUGAAUUAUUAAAGUUUAUGAUAUGGCCGAUGAACCUAUUUGUGUCAAUAUUGAUGCCUCACUGGGCUCUAAACCAAGUAUACCAUUAUACUCGUCCCCGAAUUCGUCUCCAACGUUAUAUGUUCCGCCCCCAAAAGCUACUCCAGGCAACACUCUCCACCUCGUUGUCUGAGAUAAUGAAAUAAAGAGUGUUCCUACUAAUAGUUGUAAACACCUAAUUUUUGACUAUAUUUAAAUUUUUAUAACUUUCUACUUUGUAAUUAUUUUUAGAAAUUUAAUAUAUAUUUUUUUAGCUUUGUUACAUUUUUUUUAUAUAGGGUAAGAAUUAAAAAUAAUUUAAAAGAUCAAAUAAUUACUAUUAGUAUUAUUUUUAUUUUUUAUCUUUAUUUUUAAAUAAAUAAAUUUAAAGAAACCGAAAAAAUAAAAAUAAAAAUUAUAUUUUCGGAUGGGAAUAAAAUAAUAGAAAAAUUAAAAGUAUAGAAUAAAAAAAGUAAAAGUAAAAGUAGGUGAAAAUUAUUUUUUUAAAAAAGUAAAAGAAAGUAGAAAAUUAAAAAAAUAAAAGUAAAAAAAUGUGAAAAUUUAAAAAAUGAAAAGUAAAAGAAGUUGGAAUUAAAAAAUAAAAUUAAAGGUAUCUGAUUUUUUUUUUAAAAAAAAGUAAAAGAAAGUAGAAAUUAAAAAAAAAAAGUAAGAUAAGUGGAAAUUAAAACAAAAGAAAAGUAAAAUAAGUAGAAAAUAAAAAGAAAAAGUAAAGUAAAAAGUGGAAAAUUAAAAAAAGAAAAGUAAAGGAAAAUGGGGAAUUGUUUUUUUAAAAAACGAAGAAAAAUGGGAAGUGGGAAUUCUUUUUAAUUAAAUAAUAAUAAAAUAAAAUAAAAAUCUGAAAAAAAAUCCGAAUUUGUUUUCUAUAAAUAGAAUAGAAAUGUGAGGAGAGAGGGGAGAGAAGGAGAAAAAAAGAAGGGAGAAGGGAAUUGAGAGAAAUUGUUUUUUCUUCUUCUACGCUAAGGGAAUUUCUACUCGUGUCAUUCUUUCUUCGUCUUUCUUUCAAACAAUCCAGCAAAUCAUCACCCAAAACCCAACAAAAAUACUUCAUAACAUCCUUUUUUACACGCCAAAAAGUGGAGUCAAUAGUCGAGGUCGAGGAUUCUGUUGGAGCUCCGUUCACUAGGUUUGAUGUUAUUCGUCUCUUAUGCUUGUUCGGCGUUCGUCUGAGUUAUUGUACGUGUUCUUGGAGACUCAUUUAAUUGAAAAUUUUGCAUUAAAGGUUUAUUCUUUCCUCUGUUCUUUUUAUCNNNNNNNNNNNNNNNNNNNNNNNNNNNNNNNNNNNNNNNNNNNNNNNNNNNNNNNNNNNNNNNNNNNNNNNNNNNNNNNNNNNNNNNNNNNNNNNNNNNNNNNNNNNNNNNNNNNNNNNNNNNNNNNNNNNNNNNNNNNNNNNNNNNNNNNNNNNNNNNNNNNNNNNNNNNNNNNNNNNNNNNNNNNNNNNNNNNNNNNNNNNNNNNNNNNNNNNNNNNNNNNNNNNNNNNNNNNNNNNNNNNNNNNNNNNNNNNNNNNNNNNNNNNNNNNNNNNNNNNNNNNNNNNNNNNNNNNNNNNNNNNNNNNNNNNNNNNNNNNNNNNNNNNNNNNNNNNNNNNNNNNNNNNNNNNNNNNNNNNNNNNNNNNNNNNNNNNNNNNNNNNNNNNNNNNNNNNNNNNNNNNNNNNNNNNNNNNNNNNNNNNNNNNNNNNNNNNNNNNNNNNNNNNNNNNNNNNNNNNNNNNNNNNNNNNNNNNNNNNNNNNNNNNNNNNNNNNNNNNNNNNNNNNNNNNNNNNNNNNNNNNNNNNNNNNNNNNNNNNNNNNNNNNNNNNNNNNNNNNNNNNNNNNNNNNNNNNNNNNNNNNNNNNNNNNNNNNNNNNNNNNNNNNNNNNNNNNNNNNNNNNNNNNNNNNNNNNNNNNNNNNNNNNNNNNNNNNNNNNNNNNNNNNNNNNNNNNNNNNNNNNNNNNNNNNNNNNNNNNNNNNNNNNNNNNNNNNNNNNNNNNNNNNNNNNNNNNNNNNNNNNNNNNNNNNNNNNNNNNNNNNNNNNNNNNNNNNNNNNNNNNNNNNNNNNNNNNNNNNNNNNNNNNNNNNNNNNNNNNNNNNNNNNNNNNNNNNNNNNNNNNNNNNNNNNNNNNNNNNNNNNNNNNNNNNNNNNNNNNNNNNNNNNNNNNNNNNNNNNNNNNNNNNNNNNNNNNNNNNNNNNNNNNNNNNNNNNNNNNNNNNNNNNNNNNNNNNNNNNNNNNNNNNNNNNNNNNNNNNNNNNNNNNNNNNNNNNNNNNNNNNNNNNNNNNNNNNNNNNNNNNNNNNNNNNNNNNNNNNNNNNNNNNNNNNNNNNNNNNNNNNNNNNNNNNNNNNNNNNNNNNNNNNNNNNNNNNNNNNNNNNNNNNNNNNNNNNNNNNNNNNNNNNNNNNNNNNNNNNNNNNNNNNNNNNNNNNNNNNNNNNNNNNNNNNNNNNNNNNNNNNNNNNNNNNNNNNNNNNNNNNNNNNNNNNNNNNNNNNNNNNNNNNNNNNNNNNNNNNNNNNNNNNNNNNNNNNNNNNNNNNNNNNNNNNNNNNNNNNNNNNNNNNNNNNNNNNNNNNNNNNNNNNNNNNNNNNNNNNNNNNNNNNNNNNNNNNNNNNNNNNNNNNNNNNNNNNNNNNNNNNNNNNNNNNNNNNNNNNNNNNNNNNNNNNNNNNNNNNNNNNNNNNNNNNNNNNNNNNNNNNNNNNNNNNNNNNNNNNNNNNNNNNNNNNNNNNNNNNNNNNNNNNNNNNNNNNNNNNNNNNNNNNNNNNNNNNNNNNNNNNNNNNNNNNNNNNNNNNNNNNNNNNNNNNNNNNNNNNNNNNNNNNNNNNNNNNNNNNNNNNNNNNNNNNNNNNNNNNNNNNNNNNNNNNNNNNNNNNNNNNNNNNNNNNNNNNNNNNNNNNNNNNNNNNNNNNNNNNNNNNNNNNNNNNNNNNNNNNNNNNNNNNNNNNNNNNNNNNNNNNNNNNNNNNNNNNNNNNNNNNNNNNNNNNNNNNNNNNNNNNNNNNNNNNNNNNNNNNUUAUAUAUAUAUAUAUAUAUAUAUAUAUUUAUUUAUUUAUUUAGUUUUGUUAUAUAUUUUUUAUAUAGGGUAAGAAUUAAAAAUAAUUUAAAAGAUCAAAUAAUUACUAUUAGUAUUAUUUUUAUUUUUUAUAUUUAUUUUUAAAUAAAAUAAAUUUUAAAAAAAAACAGAAAAAAUAAAUAUUAUUUUUAAUUUUUGGAUGGGAAUAAAAUAAUAGGAAAAUUAAAAGUAUGGAAUAAAAAAGGUAAAAGUAAAAGUAGGUGGAAAUUAUUUAUUUUUAAAAGUAAAAGAAAGUGAAAAAUUAAAAAAAUAAAAUUUAAAAAAUGUGAAAAUUUAAAAAAUGAAAAGUAAAAGAAGUUGGAAUUAAAAAAUAAAAGUAUAGCUGAAAUUGUUUUUACAAAAAAGUAAAAGAAAGUAGAAAUUAAAAAAAAGAAAGAAAGAAAAGUAAGAUAAAUGGAAAUUAAAAUAAAAAAAAAGUAAAAUAAGUGAAAAAUAAAAGAAAAAGAAAAGUAAAAAGUGAAAAAUUAAAAAAAGAAAAGUGAAGGAAAGUGGAGAAUUAUUUGUUUUUAGAAAAAGAAGAAAAAUGGGAAGUGGGAAUUCUUUUUAAUUAAAAAAUAAUAAAAUAAAAUAAAAAUCUGAACAAAUUCCGAUUAUUUCCUAUAAAUAGAAGAGAAAUGUGAGGAGAGAGGAGGGAGAAGGAGAAAAAACGAAGGGAGAAGGGAAUUGAGAGAAAUUGUUUUUCUUCUUCUACGCUAAGGGAAUUUCUACUCGUGUCAUUCUUUCUUCGUCUUUCUUUCAAACAAUCGAGCAAAUCAUCACCCAAAAUCCAUCAAAAAUAAUUCAUAACAUCCUUUUUUACACGCCAAAAAGUAGAGUCAAUAGUCGAGGUCGAGAAUUCCGUUGGAACUCCGUUCACUAGGUUUGAUGUUAUUCGUCGCUUAUGCUUGUUUGACGUUCGUCUGAGUCAUUGUAUCUGUUCUUGGAGACUCAUUUAAUUGGAAAUUUUGCAUUAAAGGUUUAUUCUUCCCUCUAUUCAUUUUAUCUGAUUUAAUGUAAUUUUAUUUAUUUACUUUUAAACUUUAUAAAUAAUAAUAUAAGUUAGUCUUUAAAUGCUAUAUGCUUAAUCAUGUUUUUGGAAAUAUGGUAUUCAAACUUGCUUUAAAGUUUGGAAGAUUUGGACCCUAAUGAGUUUGGGCUUCAAUUGUUGGGUUGUAAAGUAUUGGUAUACGAUGGUUUAUUUAUUCAAAUAUCUAAAAUCAUACACUUCUUCCACAAGUAAUUCCAUAAUUCAUGGCCUUCACAAUAAUCUCAAACUUAGGAAAGAAACAAAUCAUGAAUGCGCUAGAAUGCUUUAUGUCACACCUACUUUUUCCCGAAAGGAUAGGUGAGUUUUUUCAAUUAAAGUGACAUUAAUCGAAAUGGGAUUAUUUAUUUGUUCAGAGUCGCCACUUGGAAUAGUUUAUGGUGUCCCAAGUCACCAAUUUAUUUUAAAUCCCAAAUAGAGGAAAUUGACUCUAUUUAUGGUUCACGAACACAGAAGACCGUGUAAGUAAUUCUGUUAAUCCGGGAGAAGGUGUGAGGCACUCCCGAGUUCCGUGGUUUUAGCACAGUCGCUUAACAAUUAAUACUUGGCCUAGUUAUCUGAUUUAUUACAUGUUUUAGAACUUUUUAUGUGUUAAUGCUUCUAUACAGCUUUUAAUUAUUUUAAAAAAUUAUGGUUAUUUAAACAAGCUACGAUGUCGCGCACUCGCUUGUUUUUGUACAUAUUGUGAAUCGCGCCACGUGAAAUGCACCCGCGAUUUACAACAUGUUAAUUUUAAUUAUUAUUUGAAGUUAGAAUCGAGUCGCAUGAAAUGCACACUCGAAUUGGGGUUAUGUAUCAUGACUAUGCCACAGAAGUCGUACUCAUAGUCACGAUGUUUUAUUAUUAAUCGCGACUAAAGCAAGCUACAAGGUUCAUGAAUUAUUCAUUCUUUCCUAAAUUUAAGAUUGAUUGCAAGGUCGUGGAUUAUGGAUUAAUAUGAAGAAAACAUGUACAUCGAUGAGUUACUAAUUAUUCUGCGAAGCAUUGUAGUACAUGGAAUCGCAGCUAACAAGUCUUAAACAAAAUAAUUCACAUCAGUUCCUGCUUAAUCUCAACAUUCAUACUAAUUAUGGAUAGAUCGCCUCUUUCUAUCUUUAUCAAAUACGUACAGAUACUUUGAGUCCAGCAUAAAACUCCAACAACACUGCGAUUUCAAAAAUUUUAAAACAAAUCCUAGCUUUGAACCCACAAACACACAAUAAUAAAGUUUCAGCAAAAAAAAAAAGUUCAUCAAAUAGUCCUCCAAAUCGCAUCAUAAACAAAUAGGGUUCUAUUCAUAUCACGUGAAUAUGUAUUUAACUAGCAUGCCAUGAGUCUCAAAGAAAGACCAAAAAUUCAUCAUUCAAGAAAGACCAAUCAUUAUUACAGAGUGGUAUUAACAUACCUAGUUAGCAGGAAGUGAACAGUAUUGUGAUUGCCAAAUAAAGGCUAAAACGAAGGAAGAUGGAGUUCAACUAUGAUUAGCAAACAUCAACAAACUUUAAUAUUUGGUCGAAAAACAAAUUGAAACCCAGAAAAUAAUGAUGAAAAGCUCCUUGAAUCCAAGCAUCAAAUGCCCUCUUUGUAUGUUUGUUUUUGUUUUUUUUUGUUUUGGUCUGUUCCCUCUUGUAAAACCCAGAUUCACUUUUUGCCUUCCCCUAAAACUUUUAUGUCAUCCUCCUCUCUGUGUUUAUAUCCCCCACGUCAAAUUUUUUAUGUGUGAAGAUAAGAUAAUCAGAAUGUAAAAUGAGAAAAAUGAAUGAGGAUGCCAAGAGCUUUGGGAUUUUGCCAAAGAUAGAAGAAGAGAGAGAGGGGCGCCGAUUCUCUGUCUCUAGAGGGAAGGGGAUCCAAUUAGGUCUCCUCUGAUGGAGAGGGGAACUAGGGUGUAUUUUAGAAGUGAAGGGGGGAUAUUGGGCCGGCGGGUAGUGGGCUGGGGCGAAUGGAAGGAAAAUGAGCCACUAGAAGUACCUGGUCCAAAGCUGUAAUGAGACCCCAUAGCCUUCUCUUUUCUUUCUUUGUAUUUUGCAAGACUAAUCAAUUUAUUUAACACUCCUAAUUCCAACUAAUUUGUAAAAUUAGCCUAAUGACCUAUUUUUUUAUAAUUAACUAAUUUAUUUAGCUAAGCAAUGCAUGUAGAGUUACUAAUAUAUUU
RNAcentral lists this long non-coding RNA (47703 nucleotides) under Nicotiana tabacum (common tobacco). RNAcentral's name for it is "long non-coding RNA (NTAB_LNC018987)". The record is from RNAcentral. Lineage: Eukaryota; Viridiplantae; Streptophyta; Magnoliopsida; Solanales; Solanaceae.